CGCCACUACCUCAUGUUCUAGAAUUAUAACAAAAUGAUUUAAGGCAGUUUUGAUUGAUAUGAGACCAUGUAUAGGUUCGUCGAGGCAAGGGGUAACCAUCGAUGGUGGUGCGCGAUCGUAGGUGGUGUCGAAAGUGGGAUUACCGUGAAGGGUUGUAUACAACAGUUUAGUAUUUUAGUUGUAAAUGUGGUUGUUUCGGACAGAAUGGUGACCAAUACUGUGGAGGAGGAUGUUGGGGAGAGUGAGGUGAGGCUGCUGGUGGUGGAGUCUGACGGGUGUUAUGGUCGGUAGGUGGUACUAUGUGGUUCUAUAGGUGGCGGCUUGAUGGGGUUGUGAAAGUGGUGGUAGUGGAGAAUUUAGGACUUAUCAAUAAUGUUUUGAAAAAUUUAGGAUUAUGAUUGCAAUUAAUUAUUUAUUUUCUUUUUGUUUUAUUUGAAUAUGAGGUAAAAUCAUCAUUUUAUUGCAAAAAAAAAUGGAUAAAAAGGACUUCUUACGCAAUGAAAAGUGAAAAUGCUAAAAAUUGAAACUCUUAAAUAAUUUAUUAAGUCCCUGUUUGAUAGUCAAUAUUUAGGAAAAAAUAAUGUUUUGAAUUGAUUUUUAGGAGAAUUCGUGGUUAAAAAUAUGGAAAAUUUUUGAAUUUAUAUACAAAAUAUUUUAUUGGAUGAAUAUGUGGUUGAAAAUGAGUAUAUCUAAAAAAGAAGCGCCAAAUAAUGAUUGUUGCUAAGAGGACAAAAAUUAGAAAAGUGGUAGAGGAAAAGUAAAAGGGAAACACUUCACUUUCUUUUAUUCACCAUUUUUGUCUGGCUUCAUGUUAUUGGUAAGGGUAACCAACAUAUCCAUCUGCCUGACAACCAUUUUGGUGACAAUAUUUAGGGGUACCCAUUACGUAUGUAUUAGACACGGAAAAAAAAAAAAAAAAAGGAAAAAGAAAAAGAAAAAGAAAACUCUUGAUAACUUGGUCUGCACAAUUUAAGAGUACCUUGUGACUGCAUGCUAAUGAUCUGAAAUUGAUUAAUUUAUAUGGGUUAAGUCUGGCUAAGCUUAAGAAAAUAAAAGUUAUUGUUAGUUGGAUUUUGUUUGUAAAUAUGUUUUGAAUCUGUUGAGAUUCUAUAUUCAGAUUUAUCACAUAAAUAUAGAAUUUUCCUCAAUCCAGAAAAUUCAGUAAUGUUAAGUUUGUCCAUCCUUAACUGGUCGAGAAGAUGUGCAACUAAAGUCAUGUCAUGAUCUUUAGUACUGCAAUAUUAACGCGUGAAAAGCCAUCAAUUUGGCCCUUUGGAAGGAUAUGUUUGCUGUUACAUCUCUACCUAAAUGACAGGCUAUGUGCCUGUUACGCAAGCAUCGACACCCUGAAGCAAUGAAGCCAACUACCAUUGCCUCAUAACAAAGCGUCUUGUCGACAAAAAGAUUUGAGUCGAUAGAACUCCACGAACUUGUUUCUUCUCCUAUCUGAUGCCAUCAGCAGAGAAUCAACCCUUUAACCACAUUGGAUAGGCCUGGAGUCCAAGACAGUCAAUGUCCAAUGCCUAAUACUUUAUGCCAACUAUAGUCAAACACUUUGAGUCACAUGCGAUGUGAUUGAUGUAAUAUUUUUACAAAAGUCGGAGAGCAUCAAAGCUCUCAUUUUACCAUGUUUAGGGGUCACAGACCCAUGUUACCAAUGAUACGAUGUGGUAACAUGAUUGAGUUUGACCAGUGAACCGUUGGGAUGAUACUGAGUGUUAAACAUACGGAGAGCUUCAAUUCAUCCCCUUUGCCUAUGAAUACUUAAACAUGGUGAUAUUGUGAAAUUAGUAAUCUCACUCUACAAAUAAGAAAUCCAGAUCUCAUUUUUCUUCUCCAUUUGUGUCACUCUUAAACUUAGUAUAUUUUAUCGUCGUUUUAUUGACUUAAGCCUUCCCGUCUUUGCUUGAGUGUGCUUCGAUUUUGUGCACUUAACACGUGCAUUCCAAGUCAGGGCAGUCACAUUCCCUUAAUACUGGUGAAGAAUUAAGGAAACUAAAACAUAGAUUUGAGGAGUGGAUAAAAGACUAUAAAGUUCGGUUAGGGGCAGCAAAGGAAUAAGUUCAUAGGCUAGGGCACUCUGAAGCUUAAAAACAUCGAAGAACAUGGUAGGGAAAGAAGAGCGCAAGUUACUAGCACCGAAUUAUUUCUCCAUGGGGUUUCAGCAAAAUUGCUGAUUAUUUUUGAGAUUCCAAUUAGUUUUAGCCUAUUCGUGUAUAGUGCAUUGUUGAGAAUUUAGUUUCAGAACUCUCAUCUGUAUUAGUCAGUGCUGAAAAACAGGUAAGAGGUGUUCAAUUUCUCUGACAAAUGAAACAGCAAGCAGCUUUAAUUUGCUGUUUAUCAGUCUUCUUGAAAACGUUUAAUCCUCUUUGUAGCUUAUGCUAGUAACUACAUUAUUUAAAUAAACUCGACCACAGUAAAUGCCCGAAUACUAUCCAAUCAGUUGAUCUUCUUGCUGCUUCUAAGUUUUCUUUUGCCUGUUGGUCGUAUUGGUUGACUUGUUAUUACAUCAUCGUGAGGUGGGCUACAUAUUCUUCAUCAAAAUUGAGCAUAAAAAGGUUGAGCCUGCACAAUGUAAUAUGUCGCGGCUUUAGCAAAUUGAAGAUGUUUGUUAUGGAUUUCUUAGCUAAAUCAUUAACAGGUUGAAUUACUGAAAAUAAUGUACUUUUACAACCAUCCUUUUGUUCAUUGACUUGAGAAAUCAAUAGUUUAUAGAGGUAUUAUAACUACAUAAUUCAGGCAUUCACAGCACAUUACAUUGAGCGAAUGAAUCUCAAUUUAUGAUCCUGACACAAACUUGGUGGCAUAGACCCAUGCAAUGUUAGCCACAAGUUUGUUGAGGUGGUCCAAUAGGUUCUCGAGAGGGUAUUUUCCAGUGACGAUAGCUUGUACGAAGAAUCCAAACAUGGAGAACACAGCCAAUCUUACAUUCUUGAUUUCCUUCACUUUGAGCUCACAAAGGUGACUGGGUCAUCAGCUAGACCAAGAUGAUCCAAGUAUUGACCACCGGGGUAGAGGUUGUUGCCUUCUCAAACUCUCCAGGAAGACCAUUGAUUCUAAAUCCUUCAACAAGUCCCAUUUGAACAACUUGGAAGCCAAGCACUGCCAGAAUGCUUUGAGCGUGAACAAGAUUAGGGUUGCCCAAAUAGUUGAGUCCACCUUCAGAAAAAAUUGGAGCUCCAGCCUUGAACCAAACUGGCUCUUUGAAGUCUCCUUUGACCCAUUUUUCAAAAACUUCAGGGGUGAUGCUGUUGGAUAAAUUUAAUACUUUAAGUUACCGGAUCUUUCAUGUUAAAUCAUCAAGAAAUAUAAGAAUUAAAGCGGAAGUAUACCUGAAUCAAACAUGGUUAAUGCAAUAUGAAUUUAGCGGUAUGAUCUUCCAAAUCUACACGCAGUCUCCUUUUCCUCUCUGUGAUGGGAUGCAGUAGAGAAUGAAUAAUUCGUUUCGUUGCGUGUGAUCUGGGGACCAUAACCUAUUUAUAUAGGGAUGCCCUUUGACCUAAUUCGACCCAUCAUAGAAUUAGGACUUGAGCCCGGUUUCUACACAUAUGUAAAUCCAUACUUUAAUUGGAUACAUUAAGGCUCAAAAUCGAAACCUUAUUAGAUCACUUAAAUCGGGCUCAACCGAAUUCGAUAGCCUAUAAUUUAACACACAAUUAUUCACACAUACAAACCCAUCUUUAAUUAAAAAUCCUUACAAUCUCUCACUUGAGCUAUAUGUGUCACUUUAUAAUUGUGCAUUAAACAUAACCUUAUGAGUACUCAGAAUUUCGCUAUCAUUACCGAAUGUAUCCCCAAACAAUCCCGUCCAUCAAUUAUAUCAACAUAGGAUCAAAGCAGCUUUCGCUACUUUCACGUAGCUAAACCCAUCAAUGGUCACGUAUAUCAAUAUAACCGAAUGACAUGGAUUAAGCAUGGAAAUUACAUGUAAUGUGAUCUGUAACAUGCCUAUUUCCAACUGGUCCACCUUAAUACCUUAAUGAGAUCAUUUUAAAUAAGUUCAGAGAUAAUUAACCAAAUAACUUUAUAAUUGAAAAUAACUUUAACUUUAAACCGUAUCCAAAAUAACAGUACAUGUGUCCAAUAUGAAAAGCAAAAAUGCAAACUUUCACUGAAACUAGAUAUCCUCAAGAGACAUUACACCCAUAUGAGCAGUGUGCUCAUGAAAGACCUUGGGUAGCAAUCCCUUAGUAAGCGGAUCCGCAACUAUGGAGUUUGUCCCAAUAUGCUCUAUUGACACCUAUCCACUCUGAACUCUUUCCUUAACAGCAAGGAACUUGAUCUCUAUGUGUUUUGACUUUGUCGAGCUCCUGUUGUUAUUGGAAUACAACACUGCUGAUUUAUUGUCACAAAAUAUCUUAAGUGGUCUUUCUAUAUUGUCCACAAUGCGCAGCCCAGUGACAAAAUUGCGCAGCCAUAUUCCAUGAUUUGAUGCCUCAUAACACGCUAUAAACUCCGCUGCCAUAGUGGAAGUAGCUAUAAGUGUCUGCUUAGCACUCUUCCAUGAAAUAGCACCUCCAGCAAGCAAGUAAAUAUAGCCUGAAGUGGAUCUCCUACUAUCUUGGCAUCCCGCGAAAUCGGAAUCAGAAUAACCGAUGAUCUCCAACUGAUCCGAUCUCCUGUAUGUGAGCAUGUAGUCUUUUGUUCUCUGUAAAUACUGCAUGACCCGUUUGGCUGCUUUCCAACGAUCCAUUCCCGGGUUACUUAAAUAUCUCCCUAGCAUCCCAACGAUGUACGCUAUAUCCGGACGCGUACAAACCUGAGCAUACAUCAGACUCCCUAUAGCUGAGGAAUAAGGAAUCUUCUGCAUUUCUUUAAUUUCCAAGUCAUUUUUAGGGCACUGACUUACUGAACUUGUCACCUUUAGCCACAGGGGUGUCACGUGGUUUACAAUCUUGCAUGCCAUAUCUUUUAAGUACCUUUUCGAUAUAGCUCUUUUGUGAUAAUCCAAGAAUACCUCGAGAACGAUCUCGGUGUAUCUGAAUUCCUAAUACAAAAGAGCCAUCAUCAAGAUCUUUCAUCUCAAAAUUCUUUGCUAGAAAUCUCUUGGUUUCGUGCAAUAAGCCUAUAUCGUUGCUGGCAAGCAAUAUGUCAUCGACAUAUAAAACCAGAAAAAUAUACUUGCUCCCACUGAACUUGUGGAUAUACAAUCAUCAACCAAAUUCAUCUCAAAAUCAAAUGAGAUGAUCACCUGAUGAAACUUGUAAUACCAUUGACGAGAUGCCUGUUUGAGUCCAUAGAUGGAUUUCUUUAAUUUACAAACCAUUUGCUUUGCAUCGUCCGAUACAAAGUUUUCUGGUUAUACUAUGUAAAUUGUUUCUCAAUGUCACCAUUGAAAAAUGCUGUUUUAACAUCCAUCUGAUGUAGCUCAAGAUCGAAAUGCGCUACCAAUACCAUUAUAGUCUUGAAAGAGUCUUUCGAAGAAACCGGAGAGAAAGUCUUUUUAUAAUCGAUGCCUUCUUUCUGUGUAAAGCCUUUUGCGACAAGACGAGCCUUAUACCUCUCUACAUCACCUUUCGAAUCCUUCUUGGUCUUAAAUAUCCAUUUGCAACCAAUGGGUUUCGCACCUUCAGGCAAUGGAACGAGGUCCCAUACGUCAUUGUCCUUCAUGGACUUUAUCUCUUCAUUCAUAUUGAGAGUUAGAACUUUCCAUGGCUUGACGGAAGUUGAUCGGAUCAUCUUCUACCAUUCCAAUAUCAACUUCAUGUUCUUGAAGAAAUACGAUGUAAUCAUUCGAAACCGCACUUCUCCUCUCUCUAGUGGAUCUUCUUAAUGGCAUUGGUUCUUGAGGGUGUAGAGUUUAUUCUUCUGGAACAAUUUGUUGAUCUUGAGAGGGAGGUAUGACAUUGUCUUGAUCCAGAGUUGCUUGUUGAACAAUAUCAGGGAUAGAAACCUGAUCAUUGUCAAUGACAAUUGGAGGAAUUUCAACAGAUUCCUCCUCAAAGACAAAGCCUGUAACCCUUUCUCCCCCCGCAAACUCAACAUCCUCAAAGAACCUAGCAUUUUCUGUCUCGAAAAUUGCCUUAGUUGUGAGAUCAUAAAACUUGAAACCCCUGAACCUUUCAGAAUAUCCAAUGAAAUAGCAAUUGAUGGUCCUUGCGUCCAGUUUCUUUUCAUUUGGCUUAUAGGGCCUUGCCUCAGCUGGACACUCCCAAAUAUGUAUAUGCUUCAAACUAGGCUUCUUGCCCGUCCAAAGCUCAUAUGGGAUUUUAUCAGUAGUCUUAGUUGGAACUCUGUUGAGUAUAUAAGCUGCAGUCUUUAAUGCUUCACCUCAGAGAGAUUCUGGUAAGGUAGAAUGACUAAUCAUACUCCUCACCAUGCCCUUAAGCGUUCUGUUUCGUCUUUCAGCAACACCAUUCAUAGUGGACGAACCCGGCAUAGUGUACUGUGGGACGAUACCGCAUUCCUCUAGGAAUUUAGCAAACGGUCCUGGACGCUGUUCACCUGAACCGUCAUAUCUGCCAUAGUAUUCACCCCCACGGUCAGAUUUGACGCUUUUAAUCCUUUUGCCGAGUUGGUUCUCAACUUCAGCUUUAUAGUUUUUGAACAUAUCCAGUGACUGUGAUUUUUCAUGAAUGAGAUAUAUGUAGCCAUAUCAUGAAAAGUCGUCUAUGAACGUUGUAAAAUAUUGUUGACCAUUCCAAAAAUCCGUAGGGAAUGGUCCACAAAUAUCCGUAUGUAUAAGUUCUAAGACGUCCGAAAUUCUAUUGGCUUGAAAUCUCCUUUUAUUAGUUUGUUUUCCCUUUAUACAAUUGACACACAAAUCAUAAUCUGUGAAGUCAAGAGGGUCGAGAAUUCCGUCAGACACAAGUCUCUCUAUUCUCCUUUUGGAGAUGUGACCUAAUCUCUUGUGCCACAACGAGGCAGAAUUCUCGUCGUUUAAUUUUCACUUUACACCUCGAGUACUUACAUGCAAGGUUUCAUUAUAAGAAGCAAUUGUAUCAAUUGAAUAAAGAUUAUCAUAACCUGAUAAAGAACCGGAACCAACCAAUUUUGAAUCAUGAAACAAACUAAAUUUUCCAUUUCCAAAAGAACAAGUAUAACCGAAUUUGUCCAAAACAGAAAUAGAAAUCAAAUUUCGUCUAAAAGACGGUACAAUAAAUGUCUCAACAAGAUCCAAAUAAAAUCCAGUCUUUAACAAUAAUCUAAAUUUUCCUAUUGCCUCUACUUCCAUUCUAUUGCCGUCGCAACAUAGAUGUAUCUUUUACCAUCACUUGGUUUUCGGCAACUCAGGCAAUCCUGCAUAGACAUACUGAUGUGAGUUGUUGCACCAGAAUCUAUCCACCAUGUAUGUCUAGGUACCGAAGUUAAAUUAACCUCAGAACAAACCAAAUGAAGAAGAGUACCUUUCUUUACACGCUAUGCGUGGUAAUUGGUGCAAUUCUUCUUCUUAUGACCUGCAGCUCCACAGAAGAAACAACCGCCUUCAGUUGGUUCCUUAUGCUGUUUCUUUUGCGGUGCCGUACCUGCAGCUUCCUUAUUAAUCUUCCUUUUCUUGUUGCUUUUGUCCUUAGAGGUGGUGGCUAAAUGAGCACUUUCUGUCUUUUCAUGCUUCAGUCUUUCCUCUUUCUGGACACAGUGUGAGAUGAGCUCAUUAAGGGACCAUGAGUCCUUUUGACAGUUGUAGCUCACCUUGAAUUGACUGAAAUGUGCCGGAAGGGAUAUCAGAACCAAGUGCACUAACAAGUUUUCAGAUAAAUCCAACUUGAGUGCCUUUAGUUUUGAAGCAAUGUGAGACAUUUCCAUAAUGUACUCCCGAAUGUUUCCUUUCCCUUUAUACCUCAUUGAGACAAGAUUUGCCAAAAGUGUACUUGUUUCAGCCUUUUCAUUCUUGGCAAACCUCUUCUCAAGGUCCUCAAGGAAACCCUUAGCAGUAGUCACCUUAUCGGUCAUAGUGUCCCGGAAUGCUUCUGGAAUAGCACGCUUCAUGACCAUUAAGCUUAUGCGGUUCGAUCGUUCCCACUUUUCCAUCUCUCUCUUGUCAUUAGAGGUACUCUUAUCAGUAAGUGCAGCAGGUUGAUUGACCCGUAAAGCAAGGUCUAGGUCCAUGACUCCGAGAACAAUCAUAACGUUCUCUUGCCAUGCCCUGAAGUUUGUGCCAUUUAACGUUGUAAUUGAAUUGAUGCUAGCAGAGAUAUUAGCAGCAGAACCUGAAACUGAAUUAGAGAACAUUUAUUAUGAAUAGCUCACAUGAAUAUCUUUAAUAUGCAAAUAAUAAUAAUAAUAAUCUCAAAUAGUGGUAGGGCCCAUCACAAGAUACCAAGCACAACAUCAAUAUCCAGUUUUUGGACAGAGAUAUUGACUUGUAAGCGGUACUCUUGGCGUAGUGAUCAAACAUUGACAAUAAAACAACGUGUCAAUCAAUAAACCUUUCUUUACACCGAUUUAUUGAUCACACAUUAAACCAAAUAAUCGUCACACGUUUAUCACCACAGGUGCACGUGUAUUCGGCUAAAUAUUGACCUUCCUUUGGGCCGACCAAUAUUCCCAUAAAUAACAUGUGCACAAACACUUUUUAACAUUCUAAGUUAGUCAAUUUUCACAAGAGAGGUUGCUUUAACAACAUGUUGCUUCAUUUAACUAACUUUCGAAUAUUAUAUCUCUUUAAAAGAGUCUUUAGUACCGAAAUUUGAGAAAGAGAAUCACCAAUUUUACAUAUUUUGAUUAGUUUUAAACUUUAGGGGCCUUAGGAUUAAUAAUUCAAAACUUUAAAGGGUCAAAAUUAAUUAAUUUCAAACUUUAGGGGUUGAAAUUAAUAAACUUGAAACUUUAGGGACCAAAAUUAAUUAAUUCAAUACUUUAGAGGAUCAAUUAAAACAAAUUUUAAAACUUUAGGGGCCAAAAUUGACCAAUUCAAAACUUUAGGGAUCAAAUUUUNNNNNNNNNNNNNNNNNNNNNNNNNNNNNNNNNNNNNNNNNNNNNNNNNNNNNNNNNNNNNNNNNNNNNNNNNNNNNNNNNNNNNNNNNNNNNNNNNNNNNNNNNNNNNNNNNNNNNNNNNNNNNNNNNNNNNNNNNNNNNNNNNNNNNNNNNNNNNNNNNNNNNNNNNNNNNNNNNNNNNNNNNNNNNNNNNNNNNNNNNNNNNNNNNNAGACGCCGGCGGCACGCCCGCCACCGGCCAGAUCCCCUUAAUUUUUUUUAACGUACAGAAAUCUUUUCUGAAUCUUUACUAAAAUCUGAAUUCCAAAUCUGAAUUUUCUAAACUGAAUCAAUCCGAACGAAAAUAACAAAAUUAUACCGCAAAAAUUUUCAAAUUUAACAAAGCAUAUAACCAAAAAUUGUUAAAUCUGAAAAUUUCAAAAUAUAUUGCAAGAAUCAAACUAAAGCCUUUGAUUCUCAAUGAUUCAACAUGAAGAGGCUCUGAUACCACUUGUUGGAUAAAUUUAAUGUUUUAAAUUACCGGAUCUUUCAUAUUAAAUCAUCGAGAAAUAUAAGAAUUAAAGCGGAAGCAUACCUGAAUCAGACAUGGUUAAUGCAAUAUGAAUUUAGCGGUAUGAUUUUCCAAAUCUACACGCAGUCUCGUUUUCCUUUCUGUGAUGGGAUGCAGUAGAGAAUGAAUAAUUCGUUUCGUUGUGUGUUAUCUGGGGACCAUAACCUAUUUAUAUAGGGAUGCCCUUUGACCUAAUUCGACCCAUCAUAGAAUUAGGAUUUGGGCCCGGUCUCUACACAUAUGUAAACCUAUACUGUAAUUGGAUACAGUAAAGUCCAAAAUCGAAACCUUAUUAGAUCACUUAAAUCGGGCUCAACCGAAUUCGAUAGCCUAUAAUUUAACACACAAUUAUUCACACAUACAAACCCAUCUUUAAUUAAAAAUCCUUACAGAUGCAUCCUAGAGCUCCAAGCAUAACCCAUCACCCAUGGAUAACCUGGUAAGUGAAAAAUAAAAAAAAAAUAAAAAAAUUCAACAACAAUAAUUGCCAAAGUACUGCUGUUACUCUUCGUAUGAAAAUUUGUACACCUCAAGUGCCUUGUUCCUAGCAGAGGACUCGGGAUCGGCGAUAAACCAGCAGUGUCCCAUCCAUAAUCACGUAAGAAUUCUCCCUUCAAGUAUGAUGGAGUCUAAACCGAGAAGGGUCCUAAGUAUUUGACACAGUCCAGUCUGUACCAUAAAUUGUUAUCCCGUCAAAUAUAAGAAAGUCAUUCUUUUUCCUUGUUUGGGUUGGUGUGAGUUGAGGAAUAACAUACAAUGGUGUAUUUCCCAUUUCCGGUAGAGACAAGAUCCCUAAAAGGGCUAGCAUUCUUGGUUUGGCCCAAGAAUGGAGGGCCAGAGCUGGCAGUGGCAACCAUUGGUGCCAUUUCUUCUUAAAGCUUAUUGCAGUUGAACUGUUGCUGGAACACAAUAUGGACUGGUGAGGGACACUGGCUUUAUGAUGACUGGUUAAGAUUGCAUAUAUUGAAAUUAUGGCUGUUGAUAAUUACAUGUACAUCGUCAAUCAAUCACAGGCAUCAAAAGAUUGCAUGCAUCUCCAACUCAUCCUUCUAUCCACAGUUUAUCUCUUCUGCUAUAUUAAUUAUUAAAAUUUUCUCUUAAACCCUCGUUUUUGUCUCAUUCUUUUGAAAAAAUGCAUUUUUCAACAGUAUUUUAACUUCAUUUCAACUACCAAUUUUUUAAUAAAAUAAUAUUACACACAAAUUCAAAACUUUUGUUUAUUUUUAAAUCACACAUUCUCCAUCAAUACACUAUUCAAAAAAACAUUCUUCCCCCAAAAUGGUAUUUGUUAACGUAAAUUAAUUACCCAUUUAUGAUGAUAAGUACAUUCUUGAAUUGCACUCUCAAAUGUGGUAUUGAUAUUCAGCAUUGUAUAUAGAAUUAGGGGUGAGAAGAAUCAAAGAAAAGUAGUAAAUGAAAUUAGAGUAGGUACGUAAAACGAGAAAAAUGCGGUGAGCGUGGAUCGAACACGCGACCUUCAGAUCUUCAGUCUGACGCUCUCCCAACUGAGCUAUCCCCGCGAGUCUGUAAUUUUAUUCACAUCAAGAUUCAACAACCCAAAACCCUAUCAGCUGAUAUCACAACGGAAGAUUCAAAUUUCUCCCCAACCCACAGUUAAGUUCUCAUUGAUUCUUGAUUUUCUUCGUGUGUUUACAAAAAGAAUAAACUCCGAAGCACAGAAGAAAUGGAAAAAUUAGAAAAGACGCUUCAACUUUCAAAUGCCAGUCAUGGAGCAUAUACCAAGAAUAGAUAUGAAAAUUUCCAAAGGAAAACUACCCAACCUGUCGACCAUUGGGCUUUUUUGGUAGUUUCACAAACUCAAUUUCUUGUUAUUAGUACGGGUGUCGAAGUUGCUGCUUAAUCUUGAUUAGUUUCUUGUUUAUCUUUAUUUUUUAAGGAGUCAGCGUUUUUGUAAGUUUUGAAUCUUGAUUUCUUUGUAAUAUGAUUUUCCAAUGUCGCUACUGUGUUGAUUUUAUUAAUAUGUGAAUAAUUUUAUAACUGGGGGUUUUUUCUGCGUUGAUGAUGGCAUUUCUGUCAUGGCAGAUUAUGAUGUUAUUUUGAUAUUCUUUUGAAUAUUCCGAUUCUUUAUCUUGUUUUGUUUUUGUGAUUUUUUUAGUAGUUUUCUUGUUCUUGGAAUUUAUGAUGAAUUCAACUAGUCCCCACUUUUAUUGUCUCUCAUUUUUCUUCUUAUAUUUGGGUUUAAUUUCUUUUCUUUGUUCCACUAAAGUUCCUUUUAUACUCUUUACUCUACUGAUUAACAUUUUUAGGAUGAAAUUGAAGCGCCCACAUGGGUUGAUCUUACUCUGGAAUGUGACUCAACUUACCAGGACAAGUAAAUUUCUGCAGAUUCUGCAAUUUUAUUAAAUCAUUGUCUUUGCUCGGGCAAUAGAUGAGGUGAUUAAUUAUGCAGCUCGAAUUCACUUUUAUUUUUUAUACGUUACAUUGCAGGGAUGAUGAGUGGUUUCACACAAGCCACCAGUAAGUAUUUUUGAAUAAUAAGCACUUGACAAAUAUUUAAUAUAUUUUACUUAGAAUGUUGAGCUCUGUUACUUGGUUUAAUGAUUUUCGUCCUGAUAAAAUCUAUGUAAUUUCAGGUUCCAUCAGUAUUCGUCCCGAGAGUUGAUUUCUAUAUUUUCUCAUUCUGGCGAGUGUUGUGCAAACUCAGACUUUGGCUUGCAGGGAACAUGUUCUCCAAAGCUUCCACCAUCAGUCUCAAGAUCAAGAGGCACUCAUUGCAAGAGCAUGGAAUUGGGACAGGGAAAGUGCAGAAUCACAUCAAAUAAGCUUCAUCUGGUUAAAAAUUUAAGCAGCAAAUCAUCAUCUAUGAAUUCAAGAUCUGAUAACGCUAUCAAAGGUAAACUGUCAGAUGAAAAACUAAAAGGGCACGUGAAUUCGAUGUCCGAUUUAGUUGGUGAAAGCAGUUUAACCGAAACUUCUGCACGAGCUGAUCAUGAACCAGUGACUGGUUUCUGUUAUCAAGAAACAUGUUCCAAGUCUUCAGCUUUUAGUCAAGGUGAAAACAAUUCAACGAGCACUAUUACAUCUGAAUCUACGGGACAGAAAUCUAUGGAGGUAUGCAGCCAAAUAUUUGGCAACUCUAGUGGGUUAUUAUCAUCUCUUGGACUGAGUCUUAGGAAAAGUUGUGUUACAAGACAAGCAUUAAGGGUGGAGGUUAAGAAUCAGAUGUCAGAAGGUCAAACAUCUUCUUCAAGUAAAUCCAGUGUUGGGUCCUCUUCAAAUCCUAGUUCUGAUAGGAAGAACCUAACAGUGAGACAGAACAAAGAAGAGAUGAAUAGUCAGAAUGUUACGAGAAUUUCUCAUGCUCCAACUUACAAAAUGAAUAGAUCAUAUAUCUCCAGGGCACAAUACGUUCAAGCUCGGGAUAUGAUUUGUAAGUCUAACCGGGGCAUCAAACUGGAAGCGACGAAAGCAAAGGUUUUGGUUCCUCGUAUAGUCAAUGAACGUGCUCCUCUAUCUAUGGCUAUAACAUCUAAAAAGACAGUACAAGCUGAUCAUUGCAAUAAAACUAAUGGUGGUGGUAAAGAGAAUGUGACUGGAAGUCUAGGUUUGGGUAUGAAAUCAAGCAGAAGAGAGAACAAAGCUGAUCGUGCCAUGUCAGACCAAAAGGUAAUGAAAACAAGACAGCAACAGAAAAGUAGUGGGAAAAACUUGGUUGGCCUGAAGGUACAUUUCUUUGCUCUUAGCUAAUUGGCCUCUAUUUUUGUUUUGAACUUUGAACGUACGAUUUGAUCUGCGUCCAUUUAGACAGUAACUCUUGCUUUUAGAUUAAGAACUAGAAUUUGGUUGAGUCAUUCCGUUAGACUAAGAAUUUCACAAUUCAUUUUUCUAAAAUCCAAAGUAAUUCCAAUAAUAACUGAAUCUUUAACAAGCUACUUAUUGUUAAAAUUCCUUGAGCAUCAAUGAGGGGUGGUGGAGCCAGUAUUUAUGAUUAUGGGGACUAAUCUUGCUAAGGGGAAAACUAAUUUUUUUGUUAGGGUAUGGACUGCUUAUGUACAAGAGAGAGCAUGUGCCAGUUUACAAAUAUAGAUACAGAUGUUUACGGUUUCAUCCCUAUUUACAAAUUUAGAGAAGAAUUAUUUGCAUGUCUUCAGCAGAAAGUUUGGUUAGCUUUUAAAGUGAAAAGUUACUCCAAAUAAUGGUUGCCUCGCCGGAUAGAAACGAGUAACAUUAGAAUUACAGAUAACUCUUUAAACUAAAAUACUAAUAAAGAAUAUUUUCCAGAUGGAGUUGAAAAGAAUAUUUCCCGUGCAACAUAAAUUUAACUAACAGGAAUCUAGAUCUAGCUUAGCAGUUGCUGAAAAUAUUAAAUGAAGAUGAAAAAGAAAAUGUCUUUGUUCAUUUUGCUUGCAGAAGUAAGAGAUCCAACAAAAGGAGCUAAAAUCAAUAUUAUCAGUUAUUAAUAAAUUUUAUUGAAGCUCUGCUGGAGGGGCAAUUAAGAGUAUGAUGGAAUUAGAUGAUGACAACCAAAAUGGUGCCAUUUACUUGAAGUAUUUGGAACGUUUUAUCCCUAUUGGAGACACCUCGAGCAGAUAGCAAGAUAUAGAGCAUGCUUGGCAAAAGAAAAAAAAUAUUGCUUUAGUAUGAGCUGGGGUCCCCGUCCUACAAAUUGUGUGGAGCAAAAUCCAUAAGCCUUAUAAGCUGGAUCCUGCGCUCAUAAGAAAGCAAAUUUCUUUACUAACCAUGCUUAUGGUGAUACUACAAAGAGGAUGAUGAACAGGAUACAUUGAUCAAGUUUAUAAAAUUAGAGACACAAAUAAAUAUAUGGACCAAUUGACUUGUCUGAAUUAAAGUUGAAGAAAUGCAAGGAAUCACAAUAAACUGAUUGGCACAGGAGAUGCGCGUCGUUUAUGUUUUGUGAAACCAUAUAAGAUUUGGUUCAAAGUUCGUGUUCAAUUUUUAUCUCUUUGUUGUUGGUUAGGCUACAUAUAAUUAUCUUUGUUGAUGAUCGAACUUGUCUCUCUGCAUUGAUUUUUGUGGUAGACAUGUAGAGUUCUCUCUUGGCUUGUAGUCAGGGGCGAAUCCAGAACUUCGAUUCAGCUAGGGCGGUUGUUAAUUGUUGGCCGUUGACUGUCGAUAGUCAAUGGCCGUAUAGCGAUAUUGUUUAUUAAUAUUAAAUUAAAUAAUAUUAAAAAAAUUUCGAUCUAUAUGUAAAUAUACUAAAACGUAAAAAUCGUAUAUUUAUAUCAUAUUAUAUUUCCAUACAAUCCGAAAUAAUAUAAAUUACAUGAUACAUAAGACUUCUUUGUAUUAUCAAUACUUAACAAGUCGUUUGCUUGACUAAAAAUAGUUGAGAACUUAGAUACACCACUACAAGAAUUAGAUUGAAAUUCAGUUGAAAAAAUCAUUCCAUAAUUAGUAUGAGAAUUGGACGUUAAUCAAAGAUUAAACGUAAUUAAAAUUAAUUUAAAAAUAUAAUUAAAGUUUCAAUUUCCAAUUCUCAACACCAAUUCAUCAUAAAUUAUAAAUUCUCCAAUUUUUCAUUUUCAAUUUUUAUGAAUCGCAUAUUCACAUUUCACGAUACUCAAAUUAAUUUUUAAUAUCACAAUUUACAGUAGACAAAUUUUCAAAUAACAUAUAAAUUAAAACUCAAUACUCAUAAGUCAUAUCUUAUAAAUUAUUGAAUCAUAAAAUAUUUAAAACAACGGGGAAAAAAAAACCUCUCCUAAAGUCUUAACAUAUAUUAUUUUGUUAAAUUUAGAUUCAAAAUUCAACAAUUGCCGUGAUGGUUAAGCUUCCAAUUAUCCUAAUUCUAGAAGUUAUAGGUUCGAAUUCUUUCCUUAGGGAAUUAAUUUUGGUAAAUAUUGUAGAAAUAAAAAUUUUGCACAAUGAAAUGGAGGGGUAGGAAUCGAACCCAAGACUCACAAUAUAAAAAAGAAAGCUCUAACCAACUAAGCACAAGAGAGGUUUAAAAACAAAAUGAACUACUAGUUAUAUAACCUAAAAUUUUUAUCUAUUAUUAUAGAAAAAAAGAAAAAAAAAAUCUCUUCGGCGAAUCCAGCUAAGGCGGCCACCUACUAAAUCCGCCACUGCUUGUAGUCAACAUAUCAUUAUCAUUCAAUUUAGCUACCUUCAAUGACCCAAGUCUCAAUUAUUUGUAGCCUUUGUUGUGACACGGUGUAUGUCAGUUCGUUUGUGUUUAGCAACAGGCAGUUGAUUCGAAUUGAACAUAAUUGUUCUUUAUCUAUUUAUAAACUAAACUGGUUAUAAUUGUGCUUUGUAUUCCUAUCUUUAUAGAAAGAUCUUAGUGGGGAUUCCAUAUAAGUUGUUCGAAUGGAGGAGUUUCAAAUUACCUAAGGUAGGGAAUUUAGGCCAAUAGUUUAACUACAAUUUAAUGUCCCGUGUGCAGGAAAAGAGCAACGAUCCAAGUAAAGUGAAAAAAUCUGCAAAUAUGGUUAAGAACGCCUAUUUCCGAUAGGAAAUCAAGGUAUGUAAAUAAACUAAAGCCCCUACCUUCAUUUUAUUCGAGCUAAAGAUCAAAUGAGAUGACAUGAUUGGUAACUUUUGAGACCUGAAUUUUGUUCUUGCUAGCUACGGUCUCUUUACUUCAAGGAGGCAUGUUUGUUAUGUAAUAUUAGGACUGGAUGACUUAAUAUUGAGGAUUUUAGCUUAUUAUUGUUUCUUAAUGUUGUCCAGUAUUUUCCAGUUUUGGUUUUGAAUGGCAUUUGACUCAAGAAUUGUAUUACUUUUGUACAAAAUAUGAUAUCUACCUCUACCGUUUGGGAGACUUGUAUUUUGCUUUUUGAAGUAUAAUGAGUAUAUUAGAAAUUACAAACCAAUAGUAGGUAGAACACAUUAGAUAAUGGAGUCAAUGGUAUCCACUAAUCUUUACAGAGUGUUCUUCCGUCCAAUCCGAUGAAAUGAUUAAUCGAAAAUAAUGAGUGGUCAUUGAUAUAGACACAUUCGAUAUCCCAUUAUUGAAUUGGAAACGGUAAAUACUUCUUGCCUGGGGCAGCUUCGUUCCGAUGAAAUGAUUAAUGGAAAAUAAUGAGUGGUCAUUGACAUAGACACGUUCGAGAUCCCAUUAUAGAAGUGGAAAAGGGAAAUGUUCUUGCCUGGGACAGCUUCGUUCCUUAGCAUUUAAGGAAAGUUGUCUACGGCAUCUUUUGUUUUUGUGUACCGCACUAAUUUUAAUGUGCACAAAUUCUGAAAUUCAUAUGGUUAAGAUUCGUUCCUUGUACCAUUUUCAUUAGGACACAGAUUUGGACAAUUGAACUACGUGUGUCCAACUCCUCAGUGUUGGUAACGACAUGUUACCCAAUAAUAUGUACUCACUUGCCCUACCUUCUUUUAUAAUAUAUUUUUCUUUUCACAAACCGACUAAUCAACUAAAUAAAAUAAAAUUGAUAAGUUUUAUAAAACGGGUCUAUUUCUUAAUGUAAUUCAUGAUAAAUUUUAAAUUAGGGCGCUAAUAGUUCAUUUGUUAGGACUUCUAAAAGUUAAGGCCCCGUUUGGUAUGGAUUUUUUGCCCCAAAAAUUGAUUUUUUAAGCGUUAUUUUACUAUUCAAGCCGUAAUUUUUGACUUCUUCUCUCACAUGUGGACCCCACUUUUCUUCUAACGGUCAAAAAAUCAAUUCUCAAAAUUCCUACCAAACGGGCCCUAAAAGUAAAUUCUGAGAUCGAGAAUUUGAUUUUGAACUUAUUUCAAUAAUUUUUUAAAAAUACUUUGUUGUCGAAAAAUGUCCAUUUAUUAGAUAUAGCAAGAUGUGUGAUCCAUUAGCCACUUUUUUCUCUAAAUAUAGUACCUCUCUUUUCUCUCAAUCUUUCCACUUUACUUCUCGUUUUAUUUUGCAUACCAUAAACUUCUUCUCUUAUUUCUCUCCUCGCUGAACAACAAAGAAAAUCCAACUUAUUCUCUACCGUCGUCAACAGUAACAUCGUCAUCGGACUGGUCGAGACGACAUGUCGACAAUGGCACGUAGUCUCUUCACCUGUUUUGGUAAAGGCUCCCCGCACCAGAAGCUUGAAAAUUCAAACGAAGGUGCAACCUUGGACAUGGUGGUGGAGGAGCAACGGAGAGGUGGGCCGGUGGUGGUGGAGCUGUUUUCAUCACAGGGAUGCGCCACCUCUCCAGAGGCGGAGCUGCUGUUCUCACGGCUAGCGAGGGGUGAUUUCAACCUCGAGGUGCCGUUGAUAUUGUUGGCCUACCAUGUUGAUUAUUGGGAUUAUAUGGGCUGGAAGGACCCUUUUGGGUCCAGCCAAUGGACUGUGAGACAAAAGGCCUAUGUUGAGGCCCUGAACCUUGAUACAAUGUUCACGCCCCAAAUUGUGGUCCAGGGUCGGGCCCAAUGUGUUGGUAACGAUCAGGAUGCUUUGUUAUCCUGCAUCACGUCUGCACCGCGAAUCCCUGCUCCGUCGUUCCAGGUCAGUAAAUCUAAUUAGGGGCGGACGUGGGUCGGUUCGACGGGUCGGUUCGGUACUGUUCUAAAGAGAAUCGAACCGAAUCGAACUUUUUGGGUAUUUAAUAAAUGGAACCUUCGGGUCCAAAUAUAAUUAUGGAAUCGUUCAGGUUCGAUUCCGUUCAAUUCGGUUCCGUUCAAUUUUGUACUAUAAUUAAAUUUUAUAACAUUUAUAACAACAUUAUAUAAAUACAACUAAUGAUAUAUUCAAUAGUUUUGGAAUGUCAGAGACUAGUAAACUAGCUUGUUCAAAUGAUCGUUACGAUCAUAGUUUUGGUUGGCGAAUGUCACAGCUUCGAUCUAAAGUAACAGUGUCGGUCGAUGAUUGUAUAGGUUUUGGAAUAUUAGCGAGGCUACGAGAGUGAGUGCGAGAGUCGAGACAACGUUAUGCACUUUAUUGUUGGUGUUUAGGGUUAUUUAGUGGAUUUGAUCUUACUUCACUAAGAAAUGAAACAAUAAAAUGGGUAAUUGGGUCAAAAAUUAAAAAAUUAAAAAUGAAACAAAUUAUUGGGCCAAAAAUUUGGAUUUAGAAAUCAUUAAUUUAUUAAUUUUUUUAGAAAAAACUAAAAUUAAAAUAAUUUGAUUUACUCAAUAUAAAAAAAAAAUAGAAAUAUUCGGUUCUUAUUCGAUUUUUCGAUUCUUGGUCUAGAAUCGAGAAUCGAACCGUACCUGUCGGUUCUCAAUUCAGAUAUCCGUUUGGAUAUUUAAUUUGACAAGAACUGUCGGAUUCGGUUCGAGUUCGAUUCGAAAGAUUUGCCAAACUCUAAAUCUAAUGAAUAAGACAAUUUGCCCAUAUUUGUUUAAUAUAUACCUGAAUCGACCAAGUUUUCAUCCGUGUGAAGUUUAAUCAAAUUCAUAAAUCAUGUCACUUGCCAGGCGACAUUCCAAAGGACAACGCCAGAGUCCUUGCAAGUGUCUCUCAAAGGAGCUUUAAGGGCUAAGGGAGAUCAACAAGGUGCCAAUGUCAUGGUUGCUCUGUAUGAAAGCGGUUUAGUGACAAAUUGUCCAAAGGGAGUGAACAAAGACCGCGUCCUAGCCAAUGACUUUGUUGUAAGGGGGCUUCAGAAACUCUGUUCAGUUAAAGAUACCUCUACUAGAAAAAUGAUUGCUGUUAAUUUUUCUUUGUGGCAAAGUUUCAAUAGCAACAAAUGUGGUGUCGCUGUCUUUGUAGAAACAAGUUCUCAUCAAAUUUUGGGUUCGCAGAAUUUUCAGUUGCCAGAUAAUGUGUGAGUUCUAAUUUAUUAAAAGUUCGACGACUUGUGUUGAAGUUUAGAUGGUGUUAUUUUUCUAUUUUGAUUCAUUUUUAGUUCUCUACUUGAUUUGAAGGUUAUGAGAUGAGGAUAGAUUUGGGUAGGGAUGAAAUGUGAUUCGAAAUUUGGAACUUUCGUAUGAUGAUGAUUAUUAUACAUACAUAUGUUUGUUUAAUUUUUUUUCCCCUUUUCAAAUGAUUUAGGUUGAAGAAAUAAAUAUAACUAAUAUUUUUUCUCGAUUUAAAAAUUAAAAAUUUUAAAUAAAUAAACUAGAAAAUUAAAAGUCAACUUCAAUACUUUUAAAAUAUCAAUCGCAAUCGACAAAAUAAUUUCUGAACGGAGAAAAUUGGGGUACUUUUGUUAUAUAGUUUAAAGCGAAGGCCUUCAUAGGCAUGGAAUUAGUCAAUGUGUUGAUUAUUGGUUUAAAUGCACUUCAGGUUCCCCAACUUUGAAUAGAGUUGCAUCCGAGUCACUCCAUAUAUAUAUAUAUAUAUUGAAAGCCGAAUGACCUCAUCGGCUCAUUGCACCAAAUUAAGGAUAAGCGCUCGUAUAAAACUUUGCUCUAAGUUGGAUUAACUGCAAUGUACUUCACCCCUUAAUUGUAGCUUCAGGGGACCCAUUGCAAGUCAUCAUUACCAAAAUCUUUUAAGGUUAUAUGUUCAAUUAAAAUCACUAUAGCAUGGUGAUAAAUCAAAUCUAGAACACCGGUGCAAGAGAAAUGUCAACAACUUGAGGUCGUACCAACCAUUCGAUCAAGUAAAUUUUCUUAUAAUACAGCUCGUAAACAAGAUAUAGGAAAGAGACAGUUGCCCUAACUGGAUUGUGCACAGCUGUAUUUGAGAAGGAUUGUUAAACUACAAAAACAUUAACCAAUCGACACGACCAGUACUUAUAAUUCUAAGUGUUCCAAAAUUCCAAACGGUCAUGAAAAGCAUGCUCAUUGAUGCUAGUAUCCCUGUGGCAUAUAUUCACCUCACAAACUAAGAUCAUUACGAAUAUUAUUCUUUUCUACAUGAAGCAUUGAACCGUUAUUCACCAUCCCGAGAAAUGAAUUAAAUACAGAUGGGAUGAGAUAAGGUUAGAAAAUCACCAUGGAAAAACGAUCACACACAUAAAUAAGACCGACAAGUACUUUACACUGAAUCCACUGCCUCAACCUGCUGCCGUGCAAGAUAUUUCUCCCGUCGCUCUUUCUGAAAACAAGAUAUGAGUAUUGAAAUUGGAGAAAAAUCAAAAGUAUAAGGCUAUCACCACAUACAUAUUAUAAUCUCAAAUGUACAUUCGACAUAAGCAUCAAAUACUUACCCAUUCAUCUAUCACAAGACCUUCUCCAACGACUUGUGGACCUGCAUCAACCGGAGGCUUCUUGCGUGCUUCCGUGGCAGAAUCAGCUUCAGCCAAUUGACGCUUCAGUUUUUCUAGUGCCUUAAAUGACGAAAAACAAAGUGAGAUGGUAAUAACCUAAAAAUCAAGGGAAUAACAUGUGAUGAUUAGAUGAGAAUUGAUUCUUACAGGACUAGGGCGUUCUGGAUCCAAAAAGACAACUCGCAAUAUACGCUCAACAGUUACCUGAUCCCUUUGCUCAUCAAACUGCAUGAAAUAAAAAUAAUGAACGAAUAAAAACCAAUCAAGCUCUGGAUAAGCUUUCGCAAUUCAGAUUUAUUUCCUCGAGGAAAAAAGUCAAUAUGCUGUAACACCUAGAGAAAAUCUCACAAUCUGCAUCCCAAGAUACUGAAGCAAAAACCACCAGUAUCAGCAGUACUAGUUAUAUAAUUAAGCUAGGACUGAAGCAUUAAGAAUGUUAAAAAUUAUUCUUCGCAGAAACAUGUGUACAUGAACUGCAAAAGGUCAAACAUAUGCACUCACUUGAGCAACACAUGUAAAACAAAUAAUUUAACUCGUAAAUGUCGGAUGAAAUUGAAUGAAGCACAUAGAAAUAGUGGGACAUUAAUUUUUAAACAUGACAUAUGGAUACAUAAUCCCAGAGACCUAGCUCAGCUUAGUUCAAGUAAAAAGAAUUGCAACCUUGUACAUAUAACAUAGAAUCGUAGUAGCCGCCUCUGACUACAUAUCUGACAAGCUUGCAGGUGCGCAAAAACAUUUUUGAUUUGAACAGUAAUUUUACAACAGAGACAAAUCAACAACAUGCAUCUCCUAUUAUUUUCUAGUUUCCAUUCGAUGAUUGCUACUUGACUUCAACCUCCCAAAUAAAACAAGAGGACAACAAAUCAAUCUUUGAAUAGAGGAAUCCAGAAAACAUAUAAUAUUGAUACAUCACGUUAUAAUAAACAAAAUGAAACAAAAACAAAAAGAAGAAGAAGAAAACAAAAGUGCUUCAUGUUUGCAAAAGAAAGGUAAUCCAUUGACAAAUUUGACAAAUAAAUAAAAACUCAAAUGUAACAAUGGCAGUUUGGCAUGGAAUUCAAACAAAAUCCUAUCGUGGCAUAACUACACCAAAAAAUUAGCUUUAUGACCACCAAAAGCAUGUUCCCUGUAAAUAGAAUACAAUGAGGGACGUGGAGAGCAGGCAUGGCUUGAGACCCCUUAGUCAAGAUUAGUCAAUUGAGAACAGUUCGUUAGAAAAGCAUAAACAUAACUCAAACACAGCUAUGAAAUGAUUAACAUUUUUUGUAAAAAAUAGUUUUUUUUAGAACGUUCUAAAAAAUCUUUAUUUUUUUAUUUUUUGUCCUUUAUCCAAGUUUAGCAACUAAAAAAAAAAAAAAAGAUUUCAAUGAAAUUUCUUUUUCUUUUUUCCAUUGUAUUCCUUUUAUCAACAUUUCCUAUUCCUUCUAUGCCGAAGGUUUAAAACCAGUUGCUACAAAGAUAUGACUGAUUUAUCAAAUCGAUUAUUUUUUAUGUAUCACAAUGGUCUAUUCCAACGAUUAGUAUCCAUUUUGGGAACAUCCAAUGCCAAAGUCACUGAAUGGGUAAGUCGCCAAUUCCUGGACUAUGUAAUCAGUUCGAUCAUCUUAUCUUGAUUUCUCGAACCCGAUCCCAAAAGAACUAAAAGAAAGUCAUAUAUUGGUCCAAGUAAACCCAUCUGAUUUAAGUACCACAUGGGUGGAUAUUUAUAUGAAUCCAUAUCUCCCGAAUCACGCAUGAAAGCCUUUCAUUUGCUUCUCUUUGAUGGAAGUUUGAUUUGCUUUUGGGGGCUGAGAUACUAUUUCACUAAUCAAGUCACAGGUAUUUAACAUAUUCAUACCUAACUAUUUUCCAUAAAGUGGUGACGAAAUAGCUGGAGACAAAAGAUUCAUAUGAGAAAACAAAAGUAAACGGGGAGGAAUAUUUAUUAUUUGAUCCAUAUCCCGGAAGUCCAAAUUUAAUAGUAGCAAAUGACAAUUAAGUAGAGCUCAACCAUACCAAUUCCUUUUCAGUAUCACAAGCUCAAUUGACUACGUGUGAGAUAAAGUAUCAUGUGCCUGUCAACUAACUUAAUAUCUACAAUGAUAAUAACUCUGAAACGAAACUGAUUUUGUGAAUUAUUUGUUCUCUAUCAAAGCUUCAUAAGCAUCCUUGUUGGCAUCCAAAAUUUCAUUAGCCAUUAUGCAGAAACAUAGCAGGAAAGUUUAAAUCAUAGAACUAUAAUAUGGAGACAUGAAAUCAUUAAACAAGCGUAACCAUAUUCUAAUGUGUAACAACGUGAACAACACAAACUCACUAAGACCGAAGAUCCUUGCCUUUAGAGGACGGACACCAAGUUUCUUUUGCAACAUGCAACCACAUUUAUAUACAUGGACCCACAAGUGACAUUAUAAAGAACAGACUGUCAGCAACAACCUUUAAGAUAAUCGAAUAAUUACAGUACAUAUCAUCCAAUUUCAUCAUAGUUAAAUUAUUACCUGCCAAACGGCAUAUGAACAAUGACAUUAGAGGACAAAAACUCACCAACUCAGGUAAGUAAUCCAUGCCAUCUUUCACCUUCAGACUCAUGAUCUUGAACUUGACCUUGCUCUUCUGACCUAUAGGCUUUUCACUGUUCUCUGGGUGCUCCACAAACUUGAACACUGGAAAAAAGAUACAUGAAUUUAACAAGUACAUUUCUGAUAUUUCAACCUGAACACGAAGAAAGGUGCAUUUGCAAGUUUGACUGCCCAAAAAGACUGAUGAAAAAAAUAAUUACCAGUAGCAAUGAGGCUUUCUCCAGGAGCAAGGAUACCUCCAGGUGGUCGCAUAAAACAACUUUUUGGUGCAGUAGUUUGAAACUAAAGACAAAAUAUAACAGUCAACUUUUCUCGUGCCACUUGUCUAGUUCACGGAGACUGAUAACAUAUAUUGCAUUUCAAAGUAAUAAAUCAGCAGCAUUCUUUGUUGUAUGAAUGUUCAUAGGAUCUUAUCUUACAUAAACAUUAGACAAUAAUUUAAAAACAAGUUAAUAUAGUUGUAACAUUCUACACGGACGAAGAAACCUUUCUGCCAUUGCAUUAAAAUAAGUUUUCUCUCCUUAUUUGUAGACAAUUCACAGAAAAUAAUAAUAAAAGGAAAAUAGACUAAUUAGAAAUGAAGACUCCGGAUAAAAAGACUCAAAAUAUUAAUAAUUACUAAAUAAUAAAUUAGUAAAGCGGAAACAAUACCUUGAAAGCAACGAAAGACUUGCUGGAAUUCUUAAUCCUAACGGCGCUUCUAGCCUGCUUUCCUGGCUCAUCUUCAAUAUGUACAUACAGAGAAAGUAUAUUUAAACAACUAAUUAAGUACAUUAUAAACGAGCUUAAACAAGGACAGAUUAUUUUCAACCAUAUCAAUACAUAAGUAGUAAAAUUAGAAAAGUGAUUGUCUAGGUACAGGAGAUGAUAGUGAAGACAACGCACAAGGAAAGUAGAGAUUAUUAGAAGGAUCGAAACGUAGUCGACGUCGAGCGGGGAGAAUCGAUCUGGCGACUGAGGAUACGGUGGAGGCAGAGCGGGCAUCAGAAGAGACGCCGUUGUGGUGGUAGUUAUUCUGCGAAUUGUUGUGAAGAUUCUGAGUAGAAGAGGCGGUCGCUGAUUGCCAAAUCGGGCAGAGCCUCCACUUGUUCUGUUGAUGUUGACCUUCGGUAAUCGCCAUAGCCAGGUGGUUGUCCGCCUUUCGCCGUCGCCGGAAUCUGUCGCAAUUCCUCAGCUGUAUUUUAUUUCACGAAAUUGCGUUGACUAAAAUGUUUUGAGAUGUCAAAAGUCAGAGAGCAGGAUUUUAGCAUCCGAGUUGUUAUCUUUUUAUCUUAAUCGUACGCGGGAAUAGGAAGUGCGUUAAUCGGACUUCUAAUAAUGGUAUUAAAACGGAUUGACUUAGAGAUUUGACGUCCGUUCACACGCCUACUUGUUUUACUCGUGGAGUAGUUCAGGUGGACAUCACACCUCCUAAUUUUUUUUUUUUAUCUAUCCCGUUUGAUUCUCAUGUUUGUCGAAAUACAUUUUUCGGUCCCUUCUUCUUAAUCACAAGUUUUUCAUUAAAAUAAUAUUAUAUAUAAAUAAAUAAAUAAUUCUUAUUUUUCAUCCAUAUAUUUUCGAUCAAUCUACUAUUUUAAAAUUAUUUUUCCAUAAAAAUAGGUGUCAAACACCCUUCUAAUGCAUUACAAGUGAUUGUUUGAAAAGAAUUUAUAAAUAGAUAAAAGUAAAUGGCGAAUGUUAAAAAUAUUACAUGUGAAUCCAUUGAAAUAAAUGAUAAAAGAAUGAAGUUUGAUCGUAAAUAAAUAAAUUAAGUUGGAGAAUUCGAGAAGAGCUGUUAUAGUCUAGAUAACAUUGGACUCAAGUGAUUUAUUGUUCAAUAAAAUAAAAAUAUAUACCAAUUUCAAACGCUAUGUAGAUUAAUUGAAUUGAAUUGUGCAUAUGCUGCAAUCAAUUUAAGUAGCAGUGACGUGAUGUUAAAUGAUAGGUUCAAUAAAAUUUAAGGCUAUGAAAUUUACGAGUAUUGUGUUGUUGAGAUACACGAUGAUAAAUAAUAUUGUUCUAAAUGGAAUUAUUCGAGAAAUAAUAUUGACAUGUGUGGCAUAGUAUUCAAUUAAAGAAAAAGAGUCAAAAAUUGUUUAUUGCACUAUUUUAUUAUGUUCAUACACGUCCAUGUAUUUAUUUGAAUGUGUGGCCGUGUGGGGUUGGUAAGUUUGUGGUGUAGGUUAGGUGGAAGGUAGUUAAUUACUUAGGUAACUAAUGACAAUUCCGAGGUAAAUUUGACCGUGCGAAUAGUAAUUUUUGAGAAAUGUGUGAUUAAAAAAUAAGAAAUUUUUUUAAUUUACGUUUAAUAUUUUUUUAUUAAAUAAUGUAUAGUUGGAAAGAAGAGAGAGAAAAUUAUAUUAAAAUUUUAGAGAGAAUCAAACAAGGGCUUAACAAUACUUGACCGCUGGUCAAAUCCAUAACUUCGUUAAUAUAAUCUUGUGUAUUUGUAAUUUUUACCUCUCUCCACCGUGUUCUUACUUGAAAUCUUUCAGUUCAUCCAUGACCCAAUGCAUGCUGCUUGCUUCUUCCCAAUAACCUCCUCUUGUUCCACUCAUAUUCUUCAGUACUUCUUCCUUUGUAUUUAUGUAAUCAAGAAUUUUGAAUGGAUUCAGUAUGUGAUUGUGCUCUGGAUAUAAAGGACUAAGAACCACAUUUCGGAGUCUUGCAAUUACUCUCUUUACAGAAUGCCAUUUGAGAGUUUCAAAAUAAAGAUGUCUUUUUAUUCAAUAAAUACAUUUUUGCUAACACACCUUCCUAUAAAUAAUGUACAAGUGUCAAAUUUCUAUCCAAAAAGAGUACAGCCAACAUAUAUAUAUAUAUAUAUAUAUAUAUAUAUAUAUACAAAUGGGUUAAACCAAACGGACAGGGCCGUGGAUGUCUAGGGCCCUAUGUGGUGCGUCCACGGUCCUAUGUGGCGCCCCCUAUUGGGCGCGCCUAUCCCCCCAAGAAUCUUCCUAUACAGAUUGGGAAAGGUUAAGCGGUUUUAGUUAAAAUCAGCUGCUUCAGUGUAUAGUUUUUGGAUGUGAUUACCAAGACUCCAAACUAUCCGGACAAAUGGGGGAAACCGCGUGGAAAGGUUGAUUAGAUAAUAAUCAAGGGGCUCCACUUGGCUUUUAAUUUUAAUAGUUAAAGCCUGUUUGGGAGUGAUUUUGAAAAUUAAUUUUUUGACCGUUAGGAGAAAAGUGGAGUCCACUUGUGAGAGAAUAAGUCAAAUAUGACAGCUGAAAUAGUGAAAUAAUGGUCAAAAAAUCAAUUUUUUUGGUGAAAAAAUUGGACCCAAACAGGCUAUUAAUUAAAAUGCACAAAAAUAAUUAAGUAGACAUAGCAGAAAUGCUUUGAUAACAUGAAUUUCUAUUCCUCAACGAUAUUCCACAAUCAAGACAAUUGGCUAAAUUCCGUGAAAAAGCUUUAGGAGUCACUGAAACAACUGCGGGAUCAUAUUGGAGUUGGGACCUAAAUGAAACUUAGGCAUUUAUUAUUUCAAUUUCUUUGAUUAAUUUGAUGGUUACCAGAAAUUUCAACUGCGCUCAUAUUCGUCACUAGGAAUUGGACAAGUUUUGAAAUAUUCAUAUUACACAAAAGAUUAUUCAUAUAUUUUUGCGUACGGAACAUGGCCUUUACAUUUAUGUUCUUUCACUUUGUCAAUGUUAAGUAGUAAUUUCGAUCCAACCCUAUUAACAUAUUAGGUCAAAAUUGAGAAAGAUGCAGUUCCCAGAAGCACAAUGAACAAAAAAGGUGUAUUAGCUAAGAACAAAACUCUGACGGAUGCCAUGGAAACAUAAUGUUUAACCUUGUUUAAAACUUUGGAAACUAGUACAAAACAUCAUUAAGCUUGAGCAAAUAUUUAGCUCUCUACAUAAUAUAUACACAAAGAAAUAGGGGUUUGGAGAUUCUAUUCAAUUAGGUCCCCAACAGCUCAAAUACAUAACUGUUCUCAGUGAUUCCUCAGAUUUCUUCAACUUCUGAUCUUCCUUCAUCUUUUUACAUAUAAUUGUUGAAGAGGGUACUCCAGAGAGUCUCUUGGUCUCAGUGUAUGAUCUGAGGUUGUUCUUGGCAUGUUGUUGCAGUAGCCUCAUGGCAUAAUUCCAUCUACAGAAUCCCUGAUCUUUCAGUGCCUCAACAGCCCCAAUGCUUGCUCCCACUAACCAAGCCCUGCUCGUGGAACUCAUUUCAGCUUCUUCUUUCGUACAGAUUCAGUGUUUAUUGCCAAUGGAUAUGAAUGGUGAUGAAGAAUGAUGAGGAGAAUGUGUGUUUAUAUAAGAAACUGGUGCAGGUUUCGCCAGCAGAAAAGGAAAGCCCCCAGUUUUAGGUGGUUGUAUUAUAGCCAUAUGCAUCAAGGAUUGUGCCAAUGAAUUUAGACCAAUUCGGGGAGAAAGCAGAUAUGCACGAACUCACAUCAUGUCCCACUUGCAUAUUUUAUAAGUGAAAAUUUUUUUGGCCAGAAUAUAAAAGCAAUAGAGUAGAGUACAGGAAAAAUUGCAGUAGAGGUUCCAAAUCUUUCAAUUUACUGCAGAUGGCUCCUAUACCUUUUAUUUUAACGUCGCAAUCUCAAACGUUUCACUUAGAGUCCAGACUGCAGCCAAAGUCCAUUGGACAGAUCUCUUUCAUUAAUUUAUUAGUCAACAUUGACAAAAUAAGUGAGGGAAAAAUAGUAAAUUUAUAUUUUUUUAUAAUAUGAAAUUUAAAUAAAUCAAUCAAUCAAUCAACUUCAUCUUUUCCAUACCCCACGCCCAUCGAGGAAAUACCUAUAGAUAGCCUAAAUACAAGAGCAAUUUAUAAGAUUAGACAUAAAAAAAUAAUUAUUUGAAAAAUAGCCUUUGAACAAUAUUUUUUCCAAAAAUACCCCUUACAGAGAAUUUGCAACCAAAGCUACUACAAUGUAUAAAAACUUUCAAUUAGGUUCUCAGAGAAAUAUAGAUCAUAAAUCUUUAAUAAAUUUAAACUCAAAUAUUAUACAAAAUUUUAUUGAUCUAAGAAAUGCAACAAAUAAUGAAUUAAAUUAUUCAAAAGAAAAUCUAAAAAGUUUCUUUACCGAAUAUUUAGAUCCAAAAUUAAAACAUAAAAAUGUUUAUAUAGAUAAAGGAGCAAUCAAAACCAAAAAUGCUAUACAUGAAAUAAUUCUUAACCUGGAAAGAAGAAUUAAAAAAUUAAAUAUAAUUAUUAAAAAAAAGUCUUAACAAAAGAUAGUGAAUUUUAUAAAUUUUAUUGUGAUAUUCUAAAAACUUAUGAAGAUUUUAAUUGGCUCGAAAAUCUUAACCCCUCUGCUGCACACUCCGAAGAAAUGGUAUUAGAGUCAUGUUACAAACCUAAAAUUAUGAUAAACAUAGUAGAUGAAAAAAAUAUAAUUGAAAAUUUUUUGAAAAAAAGCAGAAAAACAUAAAAAACCUAGUUAUCCAUAUUUACCUAAAAACACUACAAAUGAAAGUUUUGAGGAUAUACAUAAGAGAUUAGAAAAUUUAGAACAUAAUCUACAAGUAGGAAAUGCUCUAUUAGAUAAAAAUCUUAAAGGAAAUGAUGGGAUUAUAAUUAAUCCACCUCAAGAUUUUAGAAUAACUCAAAAAGAAAAUAAUAAAAGGAAAAGACAUGAAGAAAAACAAUAUAUGAUUACAAAUGUAGAAGAAAUAGAACAAAAAUUCUUAGAAUCUACUGGUGAAGAAUAUAAAAAAUAGUUAGAAGAAUUAACUGAAAAUAUGAAAAAUACAAAGAUGAAUACUAAUCCAUCAUUAAGUCGAAAUAUAAAAAUAGAAUUCAGUAGUGAUUAAAAAUAUGAUUAUCCUUAUGGUACUACAAUACCACUUAAGGAUGGUAUUAAUCAAUAUAGGAAAAUACAGAAAAGAUACACUAGAAAUAUAAGAAAACAAUCCAUAAAAGAAAUAAAUCCAAUGAAAUCUUAUAAUGAACCAAACCACACAACAGGAGUAUGGUUAGACCUAGAUUGUGUAGAUAAAAAUAAAGCUAUUGAAACAUGGAUAAAAAAUAUAGACUUAACAAUACAAUUUAAUAAAUGGGAAACAUAUACAGCUUUUGGAUUUCUAGAACAUACAUUCAGAGGAAUUGUUUUUGAAUAGUGGAGAAAGUUAUCAGAAUCUAUAAAAGGAAGAAUAAAGCAUGGAGAUAAUAGAACUAAAGUAUUAGAUAAUAGGAAUACUUUAAAUAAUCAAAAUAUACAGGAGAUAUUAAAAAGGUUUGAAAAAAUCUUAAGAAUAGAAUUCUUAGGAGAUAGAUAUGCUUCUAAUGAAAAAGAAAGAAAACAAGAUGAAUAUAAUGAAAGAAUGAUAGCAAUGGAAAAUUUAAAGAUAUAUGAUAUGUGUGAAUUAGAAAGAUACACAUGUAAAUUUGAAGAAUUAUACUAUAUAUUAAAUCAAUGAGAUUACCAAGAAAAUAAACAUAUACUAAGAUCUUAUUUUACUAAGUUACCAUUCCCAUGAGAAAUUAAGUUAUUAAAAGAAUAUGAAAAAUUAUUAUCUCUAGGAGAAGAGGAAGGAGUAAAAAUAGAUAAUCUUGGAAGUGGAAUUGAAUUUACAAAAAGAAUGAUAGGCAUGUAGUGUAGAGAAGCUCUUGAAAGUAAGAGAGUAUAUAAAAUAAGAAAGAAUUCCCUAUGCUGUUACAAAGAUAUAGGUCAAGUUGAACAAUUUGGAUGCCAUAAGAAAAAAUACAAACCAUAUAAGACAUAUAAAAGAAAAUUCAAAAACUACAAAAAAUUUAAGAAAAUGAAUUUUAAACCACACAAAAAAUAUUUCAAGAAAAGAAAUUGGAAUAAAAAGCCUAAAUCAAAAAAUAUUAAAAAAUGUAGAUAUUUUAUUUGUAAUGAAGAAGGACACGUUGCUUCUCAAUAUCCUAAAAAGAAAAAUAGACAGAAUAUAAAAACUCUUAGAAUUUAUGAAAAAUUCCAAGAUGAUGGUGAUAUAGAACCAAUUGAAUAUUUUGAAGAUCUAAGUAGUGAAUACAGUAGCAUUUAUAAAUUAAAUACAUCCUCGUCAGAGGAAGAUUAUGAGGAGAUAGUAUAUAUAAAUCAAGAGAUACAACAAUCAGAAAUAGAAAUAGAAACAACUGAAAAAGUUGAAAACUCUAUAGAGGUAUAGAUCAAAAAAUUACCUUUGAUAUUAAAAAAUAUACAGGAAUCACUAAAAAAAUAUUAGAUUUACAAGAAAAAGAUGUAUUCCAUCAAGAAUUCUUAGGAAUAUUACCAAUAGUAAAUAAAACAAUUGUAAGUAUGAAUUAUAAAGAAAUGUUUAUAAAUAUAGAAGAUACUAUAGGAAAAGUAAGGAUUCCUAUAAUUACAAAAGAAUGGGUAAAACAAAAAUUAUCCAAAAUUUCAGAGAACGUAAGAAACAAAUUGAAAUGUAUUGAAAUAGGAGGAGUCCAGAUAAUAGUAAAAAGAUUCUUUAGAGAAGGCAUGAACAUACCAAUUGAAAUCUAUUGCAUGGACAACAGAAUCUUACCAGAUCCUAUAGAUGCUCUAUUAGGAAUAGUCGUAGGAAACUUAGUCCAUCAGAAGAUAAUAUUUACAGUAAAAUCAAAUUAUGCAAUAUUAUUAAAUGACGAAAAUAUUGACCAAAGUUUCAAUCUAUAUUAUAGAUUUGGAAACUUGAAAAUAUUACGAAGAAGUAAGGCUAUUAGUAUAAGCAUAAAAUCAAUUUUUGCUUUUAAUACUAGCCAUCAUAACAAUUUAAAGAAAAUAACUGAUAACAUUAUCAUACAUAAAUAUUUUGAGGAAUUAGCACAAUAUAUACCUCCUAGGAAAUAUCAAGAACAUGAAAUCACUAUACCAGAAUAGAUAAUGCUUGAUUUCCACAAACAAGCUAGAUAAAUUAAUUCUGAAGGAAAACUAAUAAGAAGAAAAAGUAUCAGCCUAAAAGGAGAUAAUCUUAUUGCAAGAUUCCCCUCCAGACAAGACUCUAAGAUAAGCAAACUUAAGAAAUUAAGUAUUGCUAAACCAUCAAAUUCGCAAUACUAUAUCAAAAUAAGAUAUGUAAAUCAAGAAGGAUAUAAGAAGAAUCUUCUUGUCCUCAUUGACACUGGAGCAGAUAAAAGUCAUGUGAAUGCUAAAUUUGUUAGCCAUUUUAUAGACUUUGAAAUAUCAGAACCAUAUAUAUUUAAGGAUUAUUUAGGAAAUAAUCUUGAAAUAAGAAAAUAUGUAAAGUUCCCUCUUAUACUUAUAGGAGAGGAUCAGAAAGAAUAUACUAAAUAAAUAAUUCUAUAUAAGGAUGAAUUAUAUGGAGUUGAUCGUUCACCUAUUCUACUAGGAAUGAAUUUUCUUAAAAAAUAUAGUUCUUAUAAAAUCUGUCAAGGAUAUUUAAAAAUAACAGUUGAUGAUAACUCAAUCAUCAUAUCAAGAAUAGAUGAAAAUAUGAAAUCAUUGUUAUCAUGGAAAGAGUAAUAAGUACUAAUCCCAUGAGUCCAUAUAUUGAAAUUACACUCAAUAUAAAAAGUUAUUGUAAAAUUAAGUUUCAUGCUUAUUUAGAUACAGGAAGUACAAUAAGCUUAUGCUUACCAAAUGUACUACCAUCUGAAUAUUGAAAAUAUAAUACAAAGAAAAUAGUCACCGCUACAACAGCAGGUGGAAAUAAGGUAGUAUACAGCAAAUAUGCUACGCAAGUACAUUUUCUAAUUUCCUUUAGAGAAGUAUUUGUUGAUACUAUAUAUAUGUCAACCACAAUUGGAUGUGAUAUUUUAUUAGGACAAAAUUUCCUAUUAAAAUAUGCACCAUUUACACAAAUAUAUUGAUAAGUAUAUGUUCACAACACCCUGUGCACACAAAAUAUUUACACCAAAAAUAAAUAAGGCUGUUACAAUAGUAUAUAGAAACAUAAACUAUCAGAGUUCCUCAACCCAGCGUAGUGGAUGUUGGAGUACAGAAAAAUUUAAACCAGUUACAGGCUUAAAAAUGACAACAGAAAAUAGGUUAGAACAAUUGAAAAAAAAAAAUUUCUAAAACAUAUUCUGAAAAUCCAUUAGAAAAAUAGAAUACAGACAAAGUAAAAACAAAAAUAGAAUUAACCAAUCCAGACACUAUUGUUAGAGUCAAACCUAUGAAAUAUAGUGUUGAUGAUCAAAAAGAAUUUAAAAACCAGAUAAAAGAACUGCUAGAAGCAAAAUUGAUUAGGCCCAGUAAAAGCCCACAUAGCAGCCCAACCUUUAUGGUUAGAAAACAUAGUGAGAUAAAAAGAGAAAAAGCUAGAAUAGUAAUAAAUUACAAAAAAUUAAAUGAAGUUACCAAAUUUGAUGGAUACUACUUGUCAAAUAAGGAUACCCUUACUAAACAAGUACAGAACAAAAAGAUAUUUUCAAAAUUUGAUUGUAAGUCAGGAUUUUGGCAAAUCAUGCUUACAGAAGAAAGUAAACCAUUAACUGCAUUUAGUACCCCCAAUCCUUUAGGACAAUAAGAAUGGAAUGUAAUGUCAUUUAGGUUGAAAAAUGCACCACAGAUAUUCCAAAGAAGAAUGGAUGAGGUAAUCAAACCAAUUACUCAUUUUUGUAUUGCAUAUGUAGAUGAUUUACUUAUUCAUUCAAAUAUCAUUGACGAACAUAUUGAACAUCUUGAGAAAUUUUGUUAUAUUAUGAAAAAAUAUGAUAUUACACUUUCUCAAAAGAAAGCUGAGAUAGUUAGAACAGAAAUAGAAUUUUUAGGAUUAUUUAUAAAAGAAGGAGAAUUGCAAUUGCAAUCCCAUAUUGGAGAAAAACUUCAAAAAUUUCCUCAAAAAAUCAAAGAUAAAAAACAAUUACAAAACUUCUUUGAUAUAUUAAAUUAUGCUGAAGGAUUCAUUGAAAAUUGUGCCAAAUUAAAAAAAAAAUUUCUUUCAAAGUUAAGAAAAAAUAUUAUGUGGUCUUGGGAAGAACAAGAUUGUGGAAAUAUAAGGAAGGUAAAAGAAGAAUUAAAGGUAUUGCCCAAAUUUAUAAUUCCACAAAAAGAAGAUUUCUUUAUCCUUGAAACUGAUGUUUCAGAUAAUUAUUGAGGAGCGGUAUUAAAGGUUAAAAAGAAUCAUAGAGAUCAUAAAUGUGAAAAGAAUUGUUCUUGACGUGAGAUACUUGCAGGUUAUACAUCAGGAACAUUCAAAGAAGUUGAAACAAGAUAUUAGACGAACAAGAAAGAACUCAUUGCUGUAAAAAGGGGAGUUCAAAAAUAUGAAGAUUAUUUAUUACCAAAAAAGUUCUUGAUUAGAACUGAUAAUACUCAAGUUAAAACCUUUUUAAAAAAUAAUGUUGAUCCAUCUAUUACCAAUAGAUAUAUUAUUAGGAUGCAAAUUUGAUUUUCAUAUUUCAAAUUUGAUAUUGAAUACAUAAAAGGUAAAACUAACUUUCUUCCUGAUUAUCUUAGCAGGGAUGAAACUAGAACAACUAAGGACGAAAGUCCAAAUGCUUGAGAUAAAAGUUUCCUAUUUGGAAAUACAAAUUCAAAAUAUCCAAGAUAGCAUUCGAGGCAAAAAUAUAGCCCUUGGGGCAGAAGUUACUUGUACCAAGACUAAUAUCCCUUCAUAUGGACUUGUGAAUACUAGUGCUCUCCCCGAGGAUAAAGGGAAAGAGAAGAAGGUAAUAGGAACCCCUUCACAGGGAAUACUUAAGCCUAUUACUGGUAAUGAAUAUACAAAAAUUCUCACUAGGGAAGAUAUUCAAGAUAUCAAAAUCGAAGGUAGCUCUUCUCAGAGCCAAACUCAAUCUAAACUUUCUAUUGAAAGGAUAAAUCCAAAAGAUAUUGUCAAGAUAUGUCAUGAAACAAAAAUUUUCAGAAAAGAUAACCAUGAAAAAGUAAUAUUCUUUAUUGUUAUUUUUAAUGUUCUAUCAGAUUGGUAUCUGGAGAUUGGAAAGUGGAUGAAGACUCUCCACUACUCAAAAUACAACAAGAUACACUUCUAUCCAAGAGCAACAGCCAACUGGGUACGAAACUGCUUUGAGAUAGGAAAUAUACUCUGUAUAUAUCCCAACAAAGAUCUCAAAGAAAUAGCCCAACUUCCAGUUAAUAUCAGGAAAGCUGUUAAAAGAUAUAUUGAAAUCGUCAAGACAAUAAAUAUAUACAUCAGAUUCCAUUCAACAACUAUGGAAUGGGAUCCCGUUCUUGAAUAUAUACAUCUAUCGUUCCAUGUUAUAAAAAUGGGACUUACAAACCAACAUUUUUUACCAACUAGUCAAAAGGUUGUUAAAAAUGGAUAUCAAGAUAUUUUAAAUAUGACGCCCUACAAAAGAGCAAAAGGGUACAAAGAAAUAUUUGAACAUGUAACUCAGAUAAUUACUGAAAAAGAAAAAAUAUGGGUUUAUCCAUCUGAAGACCAUAUUAUCUACUUCAAUGCAAGGAUGGCCACAAAGGAAGAAGAUAUUUGUUAUCUCGGCCAUUUAUUAUCUACAAUUAUCUCCAAUCAAGUACAUGGAUCAGAAGAUGUGGCUAAAGAAUUGUGCAAAUUACUUUGGAAUUACAGUGAUCGCCAUUGUGAAUACUGAGUAGUUGAAGAUAUGAGUCAAGCACCUCUCAACAGUGAAGAAUUCCCUGCAGAAUUCUUUGAUUCGAAAAUGGAAAAGUGAUAGCGACAAAAGUGACCCUUUAUCACUACUUUAAUAAAGAAAUUUAUUAAAAAAAAUUGUGGCCACUAAAAGACAGAAGAUAGUGCAAGAAAGUCUCCAUAAUUGUGACCACUCACCCACCAGUUGUCAAAAGUGGAAGACAAAUUCAAAGAUAAGGCAAAUAAUUUCAAAAUGAUAGGUCCACCUAGCAAGAAGAUAAUGAAGAAAUCGGUGGAGAUUAGACUACUCAACUAUCCACCAAAAGAAAGUGGGAGACACCUGUCAAGAUAAGAUUUCCAAAAAACCUCUAUAAAAGGAGGCAAGAAGAGGGAAGGAAGACAUCUCGAAAUAACCUAUCUCUUAAACACUCUAAAGAAACACAUCUUAGAGAGAUAUUUUUUUUUGUAAUCUGUAUACACCACUUGUAUUCAGAAAAAUAUUAGAUAGCUUGAAGAUAGCAAAGCUUGUAAGAAUGUAAUCACUUAUGGAGUUCUAAACUUCAUAAGGUGAGUACCAAAGGUAUGUAAAUAUAGAUUGUAAGCAUGUACUAUUUCAGUUUAUGAAUAUCAAAGUAAAGUUUGUUAUGUUUAACAAAGUUUUCAUAAAAGGAUUUCGUUAAGUUUCUCAUGAUUCCUCAGCAGUACAGAUAGAGAUUUUAAAAGAUUUUCAAAACAUUGAUUUUGAAUGGAUGUUAGCCAUGUCAAAGUACUCGUCUUUGAUGAAUGGUUUAGGGGAAAAAGGGCAGUUUUCUAACAAAAUUGUAGCACCUUGUGUGUGAGUUAUUUUUUAAAAUUUCGUUCUAAGUAAGAACUUGAUUCUGAAAAGAGUUUGGAUAGAGGUGAAAAAGAGACUCUGGAUACUGUGAGAUAGCGUCUGUGGUAACACGGCUAGUUCUCUAGAAUGAGAAAUGCAACCUUAAUUGAAAAGCCUUUUGCAGAAGCAGUUGUGGACCCAAAUGAUUUAAAAAAAAUAUUUUAAACCUUUACUUGAUUCAGAAGAUUGAUUAAGUACAUGCAAAGCAUCUAUAAGAGCAUACUGGAGGGAAAGCCUGUUUACUUCUAUUUGAUUACUGUAAGUUAUUUACUGGCUUUUAUAUACUUAUGCUUUGAUUAUUUUGAUGAACAAUUCACAAGCAUCCACAUCCACUUCUAAUGAUCUUAUAUUAUACUUAGAUGAGAAAGAUAUUUCGUUUUUAUUUAAAUUAACUGAAAAGUCCGAAGAUAUAUUUCCUGUUAGCAAAGAGAAAAUUGAAAAAGUAUGCCAAGAUAUAGAUUAUUUUUGUAAGCACAAUAUAAGAUUUGAUUCUGUAAAAAUUAGCAGAGAAAUAAGAAAGGUGGAAGAUAUUAUAACUAAACAUAGAGAUAUACAAGAAGAAGUCUCAGAACGAUUAGUUCGAGGAUACAUAACUAAAGAAGAUCAACCUAAGAUCUUUGAAGAAUUAUCAAGAUACAAAGAAUAUUUAAAGGUAUUUGAAAGAUUGAAAAAUAUAGAUAUAUUUCCUGAUUAAUAAAUCCCGAAAGAUACAGGAUACAUCUUGCAAAUAAUAAAAGUAAGGGUAAAAUAGUAUUUCUAAUAGAAGAGGCCAUUGUGGAAAAUAAGAUCAAUAAUCCGGUCAUUUAGAAAUUGCCGCCACGCCGACCCUCAAAAACCAGAUUUGAUUAGCAAUGCCGUGUGACAGUAUGGCCUCUUGAGAAAGUCUUCUUGAAAAUACAAGACUUGAAGAAUUUUUUACACGUGAAAGAUUUGAAAAUUCGAACCCUUCCGCAUUUCUUCGUAGAAGAAGAUGAGGGUAAGUGGGGUGAUUAGACUGAUGAAUGAGUAAGAGCUCGAGGGACAAGAUGUGGAAAUUCUACACUAGAUGGAAUAGCUUUUGGCCUCCCUCAUGGUUUGUCAAUCCCAGGAGAAGGCUACACGAGCUAAAAAUGAGGAAGAAUUGGCAAAAAGACCAAUGUUUGAGCAAGAAGAAAGUUGGGUAGGUAAAAAUAGGGAAAAUUAGUAGAAGAAAUAGUCAAAAGUUGAUAACACAAACUGGGGUACUUUUUAAAAUGACUAGGUCAAAGCAUUGGUUUUAAAAUUUGACAAUUUUUAUUUUUUUAUUAUAUAUAUAUUUUCUUUAUUUAUUUAUUUAUUAUUAUUAUUAUUAUUUUUUUUUUGCAUUCACUAUAUUGGCCUCUUGAAGAGAAAAUGACAAUUUUGCUCUUAUUAUGUUUCAUAAUUACAAAAAAUAUGUUAAUUUUUUGAAAAACAAUAAUACCCUUUAAAGUUUAAAUAAAUUCAAACGGUUACCCACGUAAAUUUCAAAAUCAAAUCACUUUUCUUAUCAGUUUCUUCAAUACAGUUAAAAAUUUUUUUCCUUUUCUAUCUUCUUGAACGUUGAAAUCUCACAAAAUUAUCAAAUGCUCAAAAAAAAAAAUUACUUGCAGCCAACACUCAAAAUUGGUAAAUAUAAAUACGUAUUUUUAAUUUUAUUUUAGUUAAAUUAAUGUAUUGUUUACAUUUUUAAAUCUUAUUUCGGCGUAGGCAGAUGAAUUAUUACAGUAUUAAAUGGAUGUAUAAGUUUUUAGCAAAAACGAGGAAAAAAUUCAUGUAUAUGCAUAUUUUAUUUCAGAAAAAUUUCAUAAUCGUCUGUAAAAUGAAUAAUUAAACAUUAUUUACAUGGAAAAAAGUCUUCGAGGCCGGCUCGAAGUAGCCGGUUGUUUUCCAACAUUUUUUUUAAAAUAAUGUUUAAUUAUUUAUUUUAAAAUUUAUUUGUUCUUAUUUCAUGAAUUAUGUUAAUUGUUUUAUAUGUAUAUUGUUUAUUUAAGUAAAUAUAUUACUAAUUGAAAUAAAUUAAAUAAAUAUUAAUUAAACAAUUGAAAUAAUUAAUGAAAUAUUUUAAAUAAAAAAUUAAAUUAAAUAUUAAAUGAACAAUUAAAAUAAUUAUAUAUUAAUUCCUUAUGUUUAAUCUAAUUAUUUUCUAAUAUUUUUAAUUUGUGAUGCAGAUAUGACAACAGCAUGUGUUCUAAUUUGUUAUUUUUGUGAAUUUCAGAUAAAUGAAAAUACUCAGUGGAAAUGGAAAUAGACGAGUGAAGGAGAUGAGGUUAAAGCAAUUUGUAUAAUAAGAAGUACAUCGUUUAAAGAAAUUUACCAUUAUAUACAAAACGUGCUUAACGAAUAUCCCUCUUAGUACGAUAUGAAAUUGAGAUUUUUAUUUCAGAAGCAUUCAACCAUUUCGAUUCCACCCAUGAAAGUUACUUAUAAAGUGGAGAUGAAGCAUCUAAUUAAAUUGAACCAAGGUCGAAAGUCGACUCCUAUUUGCGUAACUUUAUUGAGGAAGAAUGUCCCCGAGGGUGAACACGAAAUUUUCGAUGAAGAGGAUCGUGAUGUAAAUGAUGUUUGCGAUACAAUUCAAAUUAUUUAUAAAGAUGAUGUGGUUAUUCUCGAGACAGUAGCGACUCACCAUGAUCAUACUGUUACGCACGGAAUUCCCUCGGCAGUUGAAGACAACGAAAAUGAAAAUGCAUUUAUAAAUGAGGAUUUGAUUGCUUUAUCUCAUAUGGGACGUGAGUCGGAUGAGAGCUCAUAGGUCGGACCGAGUACACGGUCCUCUAAUUGUUUACAUGUGGUUCCCGACGAUGAAGAUGUAUAAGUUGAGCAGCUGUUCGAAUCAAAGAAAGAAUUGCAAGAAGAUGUACACCGGAUUGCUUUAAAGCAUAACUUCAAGUUUAAAUUGAAUAAAUUAAAACAAGUCGACAUACACAAUUAUUUGCAUUGACGACAAUUGUCAUUGAUGUUUGUGAAUGAUGAAGAUGGACACGAAUAAGUUCUUUGUAGUUCGUAAGUAUGCACGAAAACAUAUUUGUGGGUAUUCGUUGAAAUGAUCACAGGCAAGCCCGGUCAUGGUUCAUUAGUCGAGAAAUAAUGCACAAGUUUCAGGACCCACGAACGAUCUACAAACCUUCGGACAUUAUUAAUGACGUUCGUCGAGAGUACGAGUUCGUUAUGAGCUAUCAGAAGGCUUGGAAGGCCAAAGAAUACGCAUUGGAGGACUUGAUGAGUUCGACCAAGGAGAGUUAUGCUAAAUUGACCAGGUAUUUCAUUGUUUAGAUGUUUAUUUUAAUUUUUAAUUAUUUUAUUUCAAUUAUUUAUUUUUCUGUUUUUGUAAUUAUGUAAUUCAAUAGUUUAUUUAAUAUCUAAUCAAUUAUUUCAUUGAAUUGUUUAUUUUUCUAUUUAUUUAAUAUUUAAUUGAUUAUCUAAAUUAUUAUUAUUGUUUAUUUAAAUUGGCUAGGUAUUACUAUAACAUGAAAAGAAUUAAUACUAGAUCAUCAUUUUUUAUUGAAAAUGAUGAUGGGUAUUGGUUCAAGUAUUUCUUUAUGGCCCUUGGACAAUGCGUUCGAGGAUUUCGAAAUGUAAUGCGACCCCUAAUCUUAGUCAACGGUAGAACCCUUAAGGCAAGAUACGGGGACAAGUUGAUUAUUCCAACAUGUCAAGAUAUCAACAUCUAAAUUUACCCUAUUACAUUCGGCAUAGGCGACGGAGAAAAUGAUCUAGUGAUGCGUUAAUUUUUCACAAAGUUGAGGGAUGUAAUAGGGGAUGUCGAGAACCUUACAUUCGAAACCGACCGAGGGCAGUUAAUAAUAAAUGACAUCGUCGAAAUCUUCCCUAAUGUACAUCAUAGUUAUUGUAUAUACUAUAUAAAGGGAAACCUGAAGAUCAAGUAUCGAGACAAGGGUAUCGUUGAGUUGUUUAGGAGAGUUGCAGAAGUUUACAGUUUUGAAGAGUUUGAGAAGUUCAUGAUCGAAAUAAACAGUAAAUUACACGCUGCAUGGAAGUAUCUAAUAGAGAUAGGGAUCGAACAUCGAGCAUGGCCCAAAUGCUGGGUUCCAGACGACCCUGCAUCUGGGCCGUCUCCUAGCCGCCUGCUUUGUUGCAGACGACGAAAAUGGCGGAGAUUGCUACCCCAAAAACACCACCAAAAUAAACACUUUCAUUAAUUAUUUACAUUCUACAAAGAUUUCUUCUACUAUUUUUCAACAGAUAAACCAUAAAAAUCAGAUUAAUGGAAGAAAAAAGUUGCAAAACUUACCUUAUUCGUUCAUAAAUGGACUCUGGUCGGUUUCCUUCCAAUUCCAGCAGUCAGUUUCUUGCUGUAAUUUCCUCCCCCUUUUCAGACUCUCUAGACGUCAGUUGAAGUGGAUGUGUGAGGGGUAAUAAUGGAUUUUCAUUGUUUUUAAGGAUUUUAAAGCUUUUUUGUUUUUUUUUAAAAUGGUAGUCAACGGCAAUGGCCAAUUCAGGUAAUUAUUUGCCACCAUUUCCUCUAACAAAAACCCCAUAAAAAAGGGAUUUUUCAAAUCUCCAAAAAAAAAAAAAAAUCACAAUGAUUCUUAAUUAAAGCUAACGCAGAAACAAACACUGUGCAACAUGGCACUCUCUCUCUCUCUCUCUCUCUGACAUUAGAUUUUUUCAAGUUGCAAAACAAAUACUCAAAUCUUUGUAGAACUAAAUAGAGCUUUUAUUUGACGGACAAAUUUUAAAUUUCAAACAAAAUCAACUUUUGCUUGUCUACAUCGGUUUAUCAUUUUAUAAUUGACCAUAGAUUAUUUUUUCAACUUUUGCUUGCUAUUCAAAUUUGGAUUUUGACGGUGUGGUUUGGAGAAGAUGAAGUUGAUUUUUUUGAAUGAGUCAAACUCAAUUUCACGAUCGUUAAUAGAUUAAUGGAUAGAAUUUGUCCAAUGGACUUCAGCUACAAUCGAAGUGAAAAGUUUAGAAUUAUGACUGCAAAAAUAAAAUGUUUAGGAGUAGUCAGCAAUAAAUUAAAAGGUUUGGAACCUUCUACAAAUUUUCCUAAAAUAUAUGAUGAGAAUGCUAUGGAACAUAGUGGAAAUGCCUAGUGCACCGUAAAAGAUUAAUAAAAACAAUAUUGUCAUUGUAAUCUUUGACCACAUUGAGUAGCUAAAAAACCAGUCAAUUCAAUUCAGGUUCUACCAAAUGAUUGCCAUAAACAAUCGAAUUUUAAGCCCAGCACAAUUGGGUUAACAAUUCACAAUUUGUACCAUCUGGGCUAGAUCGGUAAUUUUUAUAAGGGAAAAAUACAUAUAUAAAGUGUUUAUUAAACACGAUUUCAUUUUUAAGAAAGAAAACUUUAAACAUUCAAAAUUCAGGUCAUAAAUUUUUCUUUUCUCUCCCUUCUUCCCAUCUUUCUAACAUCAGCCUAAAAUUGCCCCCACGGGCAUGAUGCAGUGGUAAAACAGGAGGGUUCUAUAUGGAGUAUCGGAUGUUUAAAUCCCCGCGGUAGUUGGAAGGCAACAUUUACGUUGGAAGACAGUUGUCCUAUGGAGACAAAGUUAUGGUGCACUUUGUCGCCCAUUCGAGGGAUCCUAUCCGUACGUCGUAAAUGGAGAUCUACAGGGAGGAGAACCGUAUCUCGAAUGUUCGACCCAAGUGUGUAAAAGCUGUGACCGCAUUCAAAUUUACUUAGACCAGCACUCCUCAGGAUUAGUUAGGUAGAGUUUGGACACCUGAGUUAUAAAAAAAAAAAAUCAGCCUAAAAUUUACCGCCUCCUUCACCUCUAGCAUACCACAGUCAUCACCACCAUACCACACCAAUGAAUAGAAAAUAUAUUGCCAAUGCAAAUAGAGCAUACAAAUGUAGAUAAUCAAAAAUAGAUCGUGCAAACGCAGAUGUCGCUAUUUCGUGUAGUGGUGCAAAUGCCGUCGUACAAUUUCACCCGUUGUCUUCCACGUAAGAGCUAAAAUGGUCUUCCGUGUAAGCAUUGUUGUAAGUGAAGGAAGAAUGGAGUGAAGAAAAAGGGAGAAUGGAGAUAAUGGUGCCGUUAUCAUGGUCUUCCAAUGUCCUAUAACCCGUUCUCUUUGAACUGUAAGUGGUAUACAUUGAUCUGUCACCUGUGAUAUUAAUCUAACAACCUGUGAUUAAUUAUAUUAGAUUUGUGACCUGUAGACAUUAAUCUGUUACCUACGCAAUAUGACAUGAUACCUAUGACCUGUAAGACAUGAACUUUGACUUGUAACAUAUAAACUUUGACCUGUGAAGUUGAAUCUGUGACCUAUUAUCAGUGCGCAAAGAUACAUGAUAUUUGAUUUGUGACAAAUUAAUAUUGAUCUGUAACUUAUUGACAUUGAUCUAUGAUCUUACAAUAUGACGUUUGACAAGUGAAAUAUGACCCGUGAACUAUAAAAUGUGAUUUGAAAACUUAAAUAAGUAGUUUGUGACCAAUUUUAUUUGAUCUAUAACUUGUGAACAUUGAUUUGAGACUUAUGCACAACGACAUGUGAACUGUGGCAUAUAAUAAGUGCACAUUGAACUUUAAUAAUUGAAUUAUGACUUGCAGCAAGAGACUUGUAAGCUGUGCAAAUGAAUCACAUAUUAUUUAUCGUAUACAAAUAGCAUAUUUUAUAAGUUACAAUUUAUUUAUCGAUCAUAAUUUAUCGGAUAAUUAGUCACUUAACUUUCAUGGGUCAAAAUUUAUCUAUAUUAUUGAUCAUUUAUAAUUUAUUAAUCACAAAUUAACUAUUUUAUUGGUCACAAACUCUCUUUAUAAACCCCAAUCCACUACGUGCACCAAUCGAAAUUGUGCUACAUGAUCGCUGUCAGCACCACCACUGUCAAACUAUAUACAAAUCACACAUUGCAAUCUCACCACCACCGCCACAAAUCACAAACUAUAUACAAGCCACAAACUUCGUUGAUGCUCAACCACAAACCACAAUGUACGAACUACGGACAACCUACAAACCAUCGAUAUUCAACCGAUAGAUUUGACAUCAUCGGUCAAAUAGCCUUAACGCCACACUCAAAGGCGUCGCGCUGCACCUCAGUUGUUCCUUGUGAGGCAAUUGUUGUGCAACAUCAUAUCGUGUGCAGUGGUGUUGUGUAGACGUCGCACUGUGCGCAAUGGUGCUACAAGUGCUUGUGUUACUGAUAUCGUUUGGGUUGUUGGAGAUGCUAUGUUGACGAAAAAAGAGAGAGGAUAGAGAGGAAAGAAGGGAAGUGAUAGAGAGAAAGGGGAAAAUGAUUUAGAAUUUGAGGUGGAUGGGAUGGGCGGGGUAGGGUGAGGUGAGGUGGAUGCGUAGAUUGAUUUAAAUUUAUAAUAUUGUUAUUUAUUAUUAAUAAAUUAAAUUAUUACCGAUUUUUGUACAAAAACUUUUAAAUCUUAUUUUUAAAAUUGAAAGUUAUAAAACAUGGGUGAAUGUAAUUCCCACUUUUUAUAACUAUGAUCCAAAAUAUUGUAAAUCACACCAUAAUAGCCUCUUUCUGUAUUUAUAUACACUGGUGAAUGAUUGAAGCCUUACGAGUGUUAAAUUAUCCAAGAUCACACUUCUCAAAACUAUAUUAGUUAAUGCUCAGUCUGUUUGAAGCCUGUAGAAACUUCACAACAAAAAGUGUAGGUAUGCAACAACAGAAGGUUCAACACAAUAUAGCUUAAUAUUUUGAAUGUUUUAAGGAGAUGAACUAUGUAACAGAAACUCUCUCGUAUCGAUAGACACGGUGAAGUGUAUGUAGUGAGAAGGAUAGCAUUAGAAUUUUGAAUGUUAAUUAUAUAAUCACCCAAGUAUUUUAUGAUUCGAUAAAAAAGAGAAAAGAAAAGAAUCAAAACUUUUUCAAAUCAUAAAUAUUUUUAAAAAAUAUUUAUUUAAUUGUUAAAACAAUCACCGUGAAUUAAGCCCCAGUUUGGCCCUCAUUAAAUUUUAUUUCAUUUUCUGUGUUCUUAUAAAUCACACAUUCCCUUAAUAACAUAAUAUUACACAUAAAUCCAAAAAUUCUAUUUACUUUUUAACCAUGUAUUUUCCAAAAAAGCACUAUUCUAAAAUCAAUUUUUUUUCCCUUCAAAUAAUGAAGCUCAAACAAGGGCUAAUUAUGUCAAAUGCAUCUUUAAAACAAGUGUAAUUAUAUUACCAUCACAAAAUUUAUUAAGCACACCAUAUUAUAUUCACACCACAAUUAAAACAUAGUUUUAAUAAAUACACCACACCAAAUUUACAAUUAUAUACCUAGUUUAAAAAAAAAAAUCUAGAUUUUAAUAAAUACACUACAACAAAAAUUCAUUUUUUUUUCUUCUAGACAAUUCUUUCCACUAUGUACAUUUUAUAUUGGAUGCAUCCAUGCAUCCACACUAAUUUUAUUAAUUAUUUUUUCAAAGAAGGGAAAGGGAAAGGGAAAGAUAAAGAAGAAGAAGAAAACUUGAUUUCUAAAAAAUGGAUCUGAAUAUUUUUGUAAGUGAGCUUGAUUUAAAAUUUCAGAGAGGUCACUAUAAUAUUUUGAAAAUUAUUAAAAGAAGAUGUGCCAAAUUACAAUAUAUUGCUGAAAUGUUUUUUUCCUUUGGUUUGUAUCAUUCAUAACUUUUAGUCAAGAUGAUAUAUCUACUGCUGCUCACUUCAUAGAUAAUGAAUUGAAGUAUGCUGUUUCCGAUAAAGAGUCACGUUUUGUAAGUAUAAGAUCUAACAAAUUGAAAAAAAUAAAAUUAUAAAGAAUGAUUAUACAAAUUGAUGAAUUCUUACGCGUGGUAUUAUGGAACAAGACUAACAAUUAUAGAAAAGAAGCAGAAGCCGAAGAAAUUAGGUUUAGAUCUGUGGUGUAAUUAAUUAAAAGUAUAUUAAUCCUAAUUAUGUAAUUUUGUUUAAGGCUAUUUAAGUAAAUAAGAAAAAAAUAAAAAAUUAUGAUGCACUUAUAAAUUUUGUUGUGGUGCCCUUAAAGCAAAUCUGAGGUGAAAACGGACAAAAGUAACACUUGACGAGAAUGCUCAUCCUCCACAGUCUACAAUCCACGAUCCGGAAUUGUAUCUGCAAGCGGAUAGUGUCCCUCAACAUAAUUUAAGUUAAUCCCCCCACUCGCUCCUGCAAAUUUGCCUCGCAUUCAAACAUGUGUCCAGCGACCAUCUCUUCAGCCGCCAACAUUGACGACGCAGUCACUGGCCAUGAGCCGUCCGCAGUGUUUCGGUUUCCGGCAACUUAUCAUCAGAUGAAUUUGCUGGCGGAUCAAAAUGAAAAUGUCUAUUAAUGUUUCAACCUGGCUAAUCGCAGACCCGUUCGCUCCUAAUUCCUAUGGCGAAUUCAAGGUCCAUUCCUUGAAGCUUUACUCUCUUUAUUUAAUUAAAAUGCUUUGACAUUAUUUUUCUUGAGUUGUUUAUGUUUUAUAUGUUCGAUUAAUUUUACUGGAUAAGUAAUUGAACUUUUCAGUAGAAACUUUAGUGUAUUAUUCUUAGAACUAAUUAUUAAAACUAUCCAUCGCUUGAGCUGAACAGAGAUAAUGAAGCAGCCUUUUGAAUUUUUUGGAAUUAGCAUUUCAAAACUUAUUUUUCGAGUAACUUUCUGGAUUUAUGGUUGUGUUCGGAAUAAGCAAGUGAAAUAUUCUGGCGCAAGGACAAUUUUAUUAAAUUUAUGUACAAAGUAUUCUCGUUUUUCCAGAUUUUCAUAAGAAAUGUUUGUGUGUCUUUUUAUGAACUCAACUCUGAAAGCCACAAUAUCAUGCUGUGCAAUGCGGCCUUAGUGAUAACGGUGUAAAAUUUAAAUGAAGUGAAAUAUGACUGAUGCCAUUUAUUAAACAAUUUUUGAAGUCGCAGAUUUUUGGCUACCAGCAGUUUUAGGAAUGUUGCACGAGUCCUUUUCUCUACCCCCAAGACUUGCUGUUCUGAGAUAAGUUAUAAUCAGACGUCACGUCCAGUUGGGCUAGCUUACAUCCUGUGCAGAUUUUUUUCGCACAUUAAGCUUUCUAAUGGAGGGUUUUCUUCAUGCACUUCAUGUGAAGUUAAGGAGAUCUUACACAAGAGCAGGGGACGCAGAAGAAUCCAUUUCUUCUCUAAGAGCGACGAACUUGCAUACCAUUCUCAAAUUGCCUGGAAAAGGCUUGUUCGAAUAUGUUCCUAUAGCAAGCCAACUGUAGCGCCAAUUAGUAGGAUAGCUUGUGCAGUGACCCUUGCUUUGACCCGCUCGCACCUUGUAGCUCCGGGCAUUUUGGCCUGCGUUAUAGGAGAUUUAGCCUGGAAGCAGAGGGUAUGGGCAGAGGCAGAACACCUCCCAACCAAGGAUACUCUCUACAUGCAUGCACAAGAUAGGCAUGUCUAUCUGACUUCAAUUGUCGUCUCCCUAUUGGAGGGUUUGAUGUUGGUUAUCAGAGCUAUCUACUUGGCAAUUCUGUUUUUACCUUGCAUAGUCAUGGCUCCUUUUGCAGAUUCUCUUGGCACAGAGUUCAGAAAAUCAUGGCUUCGUGCUGUCCGUGUGACAUUAGAAAAGGCUGGUCCAGCAUUUAUCAAAUGGGGUCAGUGGGCAGCUGCGAGGCCUGAUCUGUUCCCAAAUGAUUUGUGCAAUGAACUCGCUGAACUUCACACUAAAGCACCUUCACAUAGCUUUGCCUAUACACAAAGUGCUAUUGAAAAGGCAUUUGGCCGUAAGCUGCCAGAAAUUUUUGAUAAGUUUGAAGAGAAACCUGUGGCAUCUGGUAGCGUUGCUCAGGUUCACAGAGCUACUCUGAAAGUAGGUUAUCCUGGACAGCGGGCUAAGCCUGAGCUUGUUGCUGUAAAAGUUAGACAUCCAGGCGUUGCUGAAGCAAUACGUAGGGAUUUUGUAUUGAUCAAAUUAUUUGCAAACGUUUCAAAUUUCAUCCCUACAUUGAAAUGGUUAAGACUGGAUGAAAGCAUACAACAGUUUGCUGUCUUCAUGAUGUCACAAGUUGAUCUUGCAAGGGAAGCAGCUAAUCUGAGUCGUUUUAUUUACAAUUUCCGUCAUUGGAAGGAUGUCUCAUUCCCAAAACCUCUAUAUCCAUUUGUACAUCCUGCUGUUCUAGUGGAAACUUAUGAGCAUGGUGAAAAUAUUCUUCACUAUGUUGACAAACUUGAAGGGCAUGAACACAUAAAAAGUGCCCUUGCUCAUAUUGGGACUCAUGCACUUUUAAAGAUGCUCUUGGUAUGAUUAUGUAAAUUCGUGGACUUCCAUUACCUUUUUGGUCUGAUUGCAAAUACGCAACAAUGUUAUGCAGCAGAUCCAAAUAAUUAAAAUAAUAUCUGUGAAGCAGUAAAUUUGUUUUCAUUAGAAAGAUACAUAGAUUUGGAUAGGUGAUAUAUAUAUAACUUAAAGAGGGAAGCUCCAGUCUGUCCGUGAAAGGAUACAGUUGUGCAGGAAUCUCAUAGCAACCUAUUACAUUUUUUUCUUCAGCAUAUGAAAAUUGGGUUUGCCUUAGUGCAUUGGAUAUCUUAAUAUGUUUUAUGUAUAUCAACUUUUUUCUUUUUGAAACCUUAUUUACACCAAUACUGCAUGCAUUAGAGAUGAUCUGAUUCUUUUCAGGUGCUAAGCAAGAUUAAGGAUAAGCACCACUUUAUUAUUUGUUAUCAUAUCCUUUUAAACGUGUCGAAUACGGGCAAUUGUCAUGUCAUGGCCUUAACUCAAGUGCUUUGUGAAAAUUUUCUUCCUCAUGAUUUCAACAUAUCCCAUCCAGUAUUGAUUUUCUCAUAUUUAAUUUUCUUGCCAGGUUGGGUAGUUGGGGAGCAUUCUUUCUUAUUUAGCUCGUGAUAUUGGUUAUGUCAUAAGAUGAUCUCAUGAUAUUUCUCAACUUUUCACACUUCCAGGUGGACAAUUUCCUCCAUGCAGACAUGCAUCCAGGAAACAUUCUUGUUAGAGUAUCUCAGGGCAAAACUUCAGCAAAACCAUUGUUUAAGUCCAGGCCUCAUGUAAUUUUCCUUGAUGUAGGAAUGACUGCUGAACUUUCUAAGAAGGAUCGAAACAAUGUACUGGAGUUCUUUAAGGCAGUGGCACUUCAAGAUGGUCGCAAUGCUGCAGAGUACACUCUUCGAUUAUCUAACAAACAGAACUGCCCAUAUCCACAGGCAUUCAUUGAGGUAUUUUUGCUGUCUUACUGCUGCUUUCUUGUCAUUUAAUAAAAACUUCACAGUAAGUGUCUGAUAAGAACCUGAUUUGAAGAGGCUGAAUUGCUUACUGAAAGAAUGAAAACUGUAUAUCAAACUGCUAUUUUAUUGCAUUAAACAUGAAAAUAGACACAAAACAAUUCCAAGGCUUUCGAGAGGUCUGGUCUCUCCCUAAAUUUUCCCAAUAUUUCCCGAAUGCCUAUCUCAGCUCCCUCCCAUUACAUUUAUAGAGAAUUUACUAGUUUUCUAUUAUAAUUUUACCCUUUGCUAACUAACUAUGGAAUACUCUAGUGAAUGAAUAACAAACUUGUAUUGGAAUAUUAUUAGAGGUGGAGGUUUAUCAUUACCCGCCGCCCCAAAAACCACCCUGUCCUUAAGUUGGAAGUCUGGGAAAAUUACCAAUUUCAGAUAACAAUAUAGCCGAACAAUUUCCUACGCAAUACUUGAGAAGCAUUUUGUUCUUCAGUUUUGCUUGAUAUGAGGCAUCCUUGUUGAAUUUACUUCCUUUCACCCACUCGAGCACUUUUUGUAUGAGAAGGAACAUGUCUAGUCCGAAUAUAUUUCUCAAUCGGGCGAUAGUCCUCACUAUCAUGUGGGAGAGGUGAAACAUGGCAAAUUUGCUUCUUGUACUUCUCAUCGAUUGAUUCGUCAUUAUCAAUGUCAAUACCAACUACUCAUGAAGCUAUUUCAAUGUCCUCAGGUUCUUCUAGCAUUUGCACCUUCAAAAAGUCUUCCCCAUCUUUAAUCACUUGCAGAUAGAUAGAAGGUAUAACUGUGAAAAAUCUGUUGUUUAGCAUCAACAAGACUCUCUUUGACAGAUGGAGCAUGAGUUGUGCUAUUUAGCCAAUUAUGUAUUUGUGUUAAAGCCUCAAAACUUAAUCGACCACCUACAAUUAGAAUGGUAUACAUGAAAAUCCCAUAACCAGUUGCGCCCGUGCACAAAAUUUGGAAGUUGUGAGCCCUUCUAUUCGAAUUUAUUUUGUGUUUAACCCCAUGCUUGAUUAUCACCACAAACUCCUGUUGCGUUAUUUUCCCUUCUAUUCCAUGGUCAUCGGUGCAAUCAAGCUUGCUACCGUAUUUGGAAAAGGAUCCACAAAUUCUCCCAUCCCAUCACUUCUUGGCUUGCCUCCCUAACCUUCAUCGACAUCUAAAUCGCAGCCAACAGUUUCUUUAUUGAUGAUUAAAACCUGCAACUCCUUGUGCUUACUUUGAUGCCAAAUAGAGUAGUUUUCUUUGCCCCCUAAAAACAGGCCCAACUCGUACUUCAAUUGAAGAUCCACAUCAAUUCGCCUUUUGUAAGAAAUUGGGGAUCUAUAGGGUACAAUUUAUUGUGGAGCAGAAUUAGUGAUUUGAGAAAUUGAUUUCUUAAUUUGAAGAGGAAGGUGGAUGGCGUAAUUAGAAUAUCUUGGGCUUUUAUUCCAAUUUAGGCCAAACCCUACCUGGGCUUGAUUCAUCCACUCAUUUCUUUCUUCAAGAUGUUGGGCCAUGUCCUUAAUAUGGUCCAAGCCCACUGGUUUCAGCAAUUGGUCUUUAGCCCUAUUUUCCUAAUUCAGUUUGUUGAUAACGUUGGCUUGUUUUGAUCCAUCCCCAAUACAAUCUCUCAACGGCAAUGGAAGAUUCGAAAAUCGGCGAUCAUGCUUCUUCUCCUCCUUCGGCGAUGGAGAUGGGGAUACUUGCAAUCUCUCAAGAGACGUUGAUAAAGGGGCGACCCAGCUGCCGGCAUCACAGGGGUUAUCAGAGGCUAUAGUAGCUCCAAUUUCCUUAGAUUUGGGUGGAGUUUCAUAAUAUAGAGCCUCUCCUUCGACACAAACUGCAACGACCUUGAUCUUCCUCCAAUUCGAAAACUGGUUUAAGUUAAAUUUCCUCUGUACUUGAGAAAACCAGCUGUCGGGACUGACACCAUUGGAAAUAGGUAUAUCCUGCCAUUUGCCUCUUCCCUCCACCCUCCAUGAUUCAUUACGACAAUUAUCAUCUCUGUUGUCAUCAGAUUUGUUUGGGAUUUCAGAAUUGGAAGUGUGGUCAUUGCUGCCUUCUUCCACCGGUUGGGUCAAUUCCAAAUCCAAGCCCAUAGAUUCUUUUAUCUGAAAUUCAACCAUCAAUUAAAGCCCAUUCUCUUCCCCUUUCUUUUCCAUGGUAUUCUCCUCUAGCAAUAGUCAUUGUUCAUACACUUCCGUCGAAGAAGCUAGGGCUUCCAACAUCUCUCCAGUCCUCACGUCCCACUGUUUGCUCGCCAGAGUUUCAUGAACCAUGGAGAUCUCCUUCGUGCGAUGGAAUUUCUUCUCCAUCGAUGAUGGCGAUGCAGACACGUGUAAUUUAUGGCUUUGUUCUUCCCGUGCUGUCUCCCAGCUCAAGUCAUCCCCCUGCUUCCCGUCUAAGUACUUACGAUCGGAGGUCUGCUUCAUGUGGAAUCGAUCCAACAUCAAUGCCUUCAAUUCUUCCCAAGUAUGUAUCUCUUGAAACCAUGCUCAAGCCUCUCCAAGGAAGCAAGUGACCGCGGCUUCUACCUUCUCCCUCUCCGGUAAGCCACGAUUCAUAUUUAGGCAUCGCUUCGCCUCAAACAGCCACGAUUCUAAAUUAUCCCCAUAUAAUAUCGAUGUGUUGAGUUGGCCGCAUGAAUCCAACCUCGAUCAACGGCUCAAUCUCCUUUCUGUUGCAUUACCAUCUUCUCCAACGUACUCCUUAUCAAGUUCAAACUAUCAUUUAAUUCUCUGCUGAGAAUCGUUUCCAUUAGUCCGAGAAUCGAUUGCUUUGAUAGCAAAUUGAUAAGAACUUGAUUUGAAGAGGUUGAAUUGCUUACUGAAAGAAUGAAUAUUGUGUAUUAAACUGCUAUUUUAUUGCAUUAAACGUGAAAAUAGACACAGAACAAUUCCAAGGCUUUCGAGAGGCCUGGUCUCUCCCCAAAUUUUCCCAAUAUUUCCCGAAUGCCUAUCCCAGCUCCCUGCAUUACAUUUAUAGAGAAUUUACUAGUUUUCUAUUACAAUUUUACCCUUUGCUAACUAACUAUAGAAUACUCUAGAAUAGUGAAUGAAUAACAAACUUGUAUUGGAAUAUUAUUAGAGGUGGAGGUCUAUCAGUGUCAGGCCAAGAAGUUCUUUACAUUUGUCAUUCCCUAAUCCAUCAGCUACAGUACGUCUAUGUGCCAAUAUUAUAUACACUUAUAAGCAGAUGUGUGGCAUAGGGUUCUAUCUUGAGAAUGUACAGAUUGAUUAUCCUUUUCAAAGACUGGCUGGAUACGUUAACACGUACUGCACUAUAGAAGGGAAAAAAUGAAAUUUUACAUAACAUUAUUGGAGUAUCCAGUUUGACUCUGAGCUUUGUCAUUUUACUUCAAACUUGUGAAGAGUAUGUAGCAUAUUUCUUUAUAUUAUCGACUUCCUUGCAUGAGGCUUUGGAAAGAACACUUUUUUAGUUUUGAUUUAGAAUAUUUUAAUGGAAUAGCCUUACAUGUGAAUUUUAUUUCAACUUUAUGGCUGUCAAACUCACAUCAAGUCUAGUAAAGUGAGUUUGUACUGUUUCAUUGAGACUAUUAUUAUGCAAAUACAGAGGUGACACACCUAUUGAAUGUGCAAUACUCACACUUGUUACAUACAGCUCCCAUGAACUUGUUUUAGCUCAUGAGUUGGGUUCAUGUCUGGCGGCAUAUUCAGGGGUUGGUAGAAUUUGAUCUCCUAGACAAAAGAGACACCUUUAAAAAAUUGCAUUUACUUGAGCAUGUUCAUCAUAAUUAUUUAACAUGUAUUACAUGUGUGUAAGUUGUGUUCUGUUGGUGAAUGUUCAGAAAGUGAUCCACCAUAGAAGUUUACUUCUGCUUUGAUUAAUUCAAUCUCUGAGAAAAAAUGUUUACUACUUGGAUAGGAAGUGGAGAAAGAUUUCAAGUCGUGGCGUUCAGCUGAAGGCGAUUUUCAACCGGCUGAUUGCAUGCAACAAUUGCUUGAGCAAGUUAGACGGCACAGAGUUAACAUUGAUGGCAAUAUUUGUACUGUGAUUGUAACUACUAUGGUUUUGGAGGUAAUUUCUGCCUUAUAUUGAUGCUGGAUCUUAAACCCCGGAAUCAAGAAAUUUCAUCUCAAUUUGACUUUGUCUUGCGUCUUAUAUACAAUAGGUUUUGUGAACAAUUUCAAGCUAGAAUGCUAUAGACACAUUCUUUGCGUCUCCAAUUGUUUUGCAAACAAGCAUUCAAACCUAAGCUCUUGCUUGUUUUGAUUCCACACUGUAGGAACAGGACAGAGCUAGAUUGCCAGUCUUUUCAUUUGCUGCAAAACAUUAAAACUGAAACUAGUUCCCGUUGUGUUAAGAUCAUGAUGGAAACACUGAAUCAUAUAAUUGGUAUUAUCGUCCUACACUCGAAAAGCAGGAGCUGAAACAAAACAUAUAUUAUUCUGAAAUAAUCCCAUGUUUACCUUUUGACUAACAAAAUAUUGAAGUUUGACCUUUAAAUGCAGCAUCAGCUUCAUUUAUCAACAAAUUGUAUGUAUAAAACAAUGGCAGAACGGAUUAUGGUUCUCUAAGCAAUAAUGGAACAGAAAUUACUCUUAGUUUCAGUGGAAUUUCAUUUCUUUUAUUUUGAACUUUUUCUCCUAUGCUAUCAAGUUUCCCUUUUUCAUUUUCUAUUUCUUGACUUUCUUCUGUCAGAACAUUUUCUAUAAGAUUGAAUUCUUAAGAUAUUAAAAAUAAUUUUGAUAGGUGUCACCUGCUGAGUGGAGGAGCUCUGAACAUUGCUUAAUUACAGUAUACAAGUUGGGUCAAUAAAUCUGCUUCAAGUUUAGAAAUUACAAUUGUGACAUUUGAGUUCUAAAUUGUUAAAUGAAGUUGCUUAUCUGUCAUGUGUCGUGAACUAGUCCAAAUGUUUGAGGCUAAAGGGUGAUGAAGAGUGAAGAGGACUUUGGACCUGAUAAGAUGGAUAAUCAUUUUAACAUUUUCUUAUUUCUGAGAAACAGAUAAAUGAGGUAUUUGAUAGCGUUGUGCAUUUUUACGUCCUUAUCAUUCUUAUUCUGCUGUAGGGGUGGCAGCAUAAGCUUGAUCCGGAGUAUGAUGUACUGAAGACCCUGCAAACAUUGCUUUUCAAAGUUGACCUGGAAGAGUCUCUCGUCUAUACAAUUGAAGGACUGAUGGCCCCAUAAAGGUUUCUCCAUUUUCUUCAUUUCUGAAAGCAAUUUUGUUAAAAUAAUGCUUAGAGAGAAAAUGAGAUAUUUGAAAAUUGCUGUCCCAACAAGUAGAGAACAAUAUAUCCAUUGUGGGAGGAAAGAAAUAAAAAUCAGUUUUCAAUACUUUUGCUGUUACUGUGAUAUACUUCUCAUUGAAAUUUUAUUAAUGCUUUUUCUGUUCAACAAUUUCAAUCAAAGAGGAAAGAGGAGAGAGAAUUUUUUGGUUUUAGUUUCUCUUAUACUUUCUACUCGAGGUUAAUUUAGUCUUUUUAGCACUUUGUGUCCUGCUUUUAACCUAGAGGGAAAAAUUAAUGGGUUCAAGUCCCUUGCACCUUUCACCUCGGCCAAGCAUGGCUGUGUAUCUUUCUAUACAGAUCUCUACCAUUUUUGAAGUCCUGGUAUUUUGUUUGAAAAUCAUCUUGUGCGGUUUGAAUUCAUGAACGUGUUAGUUUUUCAUUGCUAUUCGUUUAUACUUGUAUUGCUCUAGUUAAAUCAGCAGACCAACAAUUAAACUAUAUAUGCACAAUUCUUGUACUUGUGACCCUUGCAGCUGGAUAUAGGAGCUAUUCAUAAAAAAAAACUUACUCUGAUUUCUCUCUACUAAUCGAGGUUUUCCUCAGGCGCUUUUUGGAGAUAAAUACAGAGGUUUAGGAAUCCGGGAGUUUGGAUUUUCUUUCCAUUUUUUCUCGUAAUUUCAAUAGAGAGAGAGAGAGAGAUAAAUAGCAAAAAAAAAAAAAAAAAAAAAAAAGAAAGAAAGAAAGAGAGAAUCCAAUCCUUUAUCAUGCAUCUCCAAGACAGUACUCCCAAUGGAGAUAUUGGGUUUGGAUAAAAUGCAAACGAGCGGUGUGCUAGACACUUGUUAGGUAAGAGUGUGCCUUCAGAAAAAAAAAAAAAAGACGGGUUGAUUGCUUUGAAGAUCUUAAAACAUUAUUGAGUGCAGCGUAGAUAAAAUCACAUUUGUUGAAAACAGAUAUCAUCAACGCUGCACUCAAUGACAUUUUUAGGCUCUCCAAUCUCAUCCUUCCUUAACUUGCUCAUCAUUGCUUGGAUCCGAUCAAAUCCAAUCCCGUGUCUCCUCGAUGUUUAUAUAUAGUACUAUGAGCUAAUCAAGUACAUGCGUUGAAUUGUAUGACAUUGUACUACCAUGUUUUACUGCUAGCGUUUCUCAUUGUACUAAAAACUCUGUACUACGUUCCUAUCCGUACUGCUCCACUGUCAUCUAAAACCGUCCACCAUCCCUAAAGAAAAGGAUAUUCAGACACCACAUCCAAGGGCCAAAGCCCAAAGCCAUCUUCUUCGAAUCCAACAACUCCCUAGCACUAUUUACGCUUGAUUGAAGGGGCAGAUGGAUGAAAAGAAGUCAAUUUAAAGUACUAAUUUGUUAUUUGAACGGAUAUUUUAUGAAUUAUUCUUUUUUGCCAGAAGUUUUUACACCUUGGUGACAGAAGUUGUGGUAAAAAAUGAUUGGAUGGUAAUGUUGACUAUUUUUUAAACAGUCCAAUGAUGUAAUACUAUGUGACAUUAUAUCAUUCAAGGUGGUAAAAAAUUCUGGCAAUGUGACGAGAUUGAUGUUUUAUUGAUUGUAGAUACAUCCUUAUUUAAUGCUAGAAGAGAAAUAGUGUCCAUCAGGGAGGUUUGCUUGGGUUAGUUAAGAUGCGUAAGCACGCGCAGUCUUCGAGCCAAAACACAUGCUUAUUUAAGAAAUUCAUUGAGUGUUGGGUUCGGCUUGUUAGCUGUCCAUGAUUUUCUUUUAUCGAGCCAACUUUUCCUAGAAAAAUCGCUCAUGCUGUAAUACCGUGUGAUAUAUUUAUGAAGAUCAAGAUGCACUUGUGCAUAGUUUUCGGAUAAUUAGCUAUUGAACUCUUGUUUUUAGAAUACCAUGUUUAUUUUGAUCAUCUCUUCAAACGAGGCAUAACGAUCAGUGGUAAGAAAAUAAUAACAUGGUCAGUGUGAACGUUUAUACCAUUUCUCUUGAACUGUAUUCCUGUAUUAAAUGGAAAUGUGAAAAACAAAACUUAUUCGACAAUAGUGGAAAUUACACCACACAACUCAUUUUAAUAAAAUAUUCAUAUAUUACCUUUCAAUGUUUUUAAUCACAUUAUUACUGCAAUUUUAAAGGAAAAUGAUAUCUUAAGCAUCUUAUGCCACCAAACAAUCCCCUAAUAAUUUCAACCCACAAUCAUUUCCAUAAAAAAAAAAUCCAAUACACCCCCACCCCCACCCGCCACUGAUUCAUCUUCUAUAAUUCAUACACCAAGGUUAUGAAUUCCAUCAUUCUAAAUCGUCUUCUUUAUAUCUGAAGAUUUCUCAAUUCAUAUUAUUCACAUAUAUUUUCCCAGAGUAGUAUUUGAAAAACCUAUUAUAAGUAUAUGAAAAGCUCUCAAAUGAUACCUCAACAAGGUUCAUGAUUUUAAACGUGUGUGUGGGAGCAAUUGUCAAAAAUCCACAAGUGAUUUUCCUGUCAAAUCAUCCUGAAAUCCUUGAGUAUGGUGCAUUUAUUACUCAAAUAUAUUCUCAUAUUUGCCCUCAAAUUGAUUUUGGUAGGUGAGUUGUUGGUUGUAUGUAAUGGAAGGGCAAUUUUGCAAAAGUAGAGCAUUAUGUGGUCUGUCAAUGUCAGGAGAAUCUAUAGGCUUUGAAAUAAAAAAAUGGCUAACAGUCAAAUUUGUAAUUAGAAGUUGCUUAAAAUUGUUUCCAGACAUACACUAAUUUUUGACUUUUAACGUAAUCGCAUUAUGCAUGUAUUCUCUCAUAUUAUCUUCUUCUGAAAUUUCUCCAUUAAUGAGGGGGCAAGGAGGGGCAAAAAUGUAGACCAAGCCUAGAAGUUAAAAGAACAAUGAAAGCAAUAGUUCACCUUUUUGCCGUUGCAUUUUCCAAGAUUUUGUGAUGUCUAACAGUAGGCAAACUCUUUGUUUUUACGUUAUUGUAUUUUGUUUGAGUAGUUGGAAAAUAUUUGGAUGUAUUUUGUUUUGUUUAGAUUCUGAUUACUUAGAAAAGGUGGUGGUAUUAGGAACACAUCAUUUUGAAUGUCUAUUAUGUUUUUAUAUGGUGGUAUUAUAAACACGUCAUUAGAAAUGUUAACUUCUUAUCUCCCUAUCUUGCUAAUCUAUUUUAUUUUGAUUACUUCUUAAUAGUGUAAGUUCAUAAGUAUCACUUUUCGCUGUGGACAUAUUUUCCAAAUUCAUACUUGUAAGCGUUCACGUUUGAAUCACUUAUAGACCAGAUAUCUACAUACAACAUUUGAUUUCGAUCACAUAAUCCUUUUGUUCCAUUUGAAGCACAUUUAACAAUGCAACAUGCAAAUCCACGGGCAGUGUAAUAAUCUACAUUUCUUCUGUAAGAUGUUCACCAACCAGAUGCUUCCUCAAAUCAAGAAUAGAUUGUCAUUCAUCAAGUUCCUUUAAACAACAACAUCACACAUACUCCUGAUGUUGACCACAUAUAAACACUUCUACCAUCUUUCUUGUAUACUUAGAAAAGUAAUAUUCCUUCCAACAUUUUCAAAUCUGUGACAAUAAAGAACGUAUGUGGAAAUGCAAAUUACAUUAUUCACAAGUAUUUAAUAUUAUGGAAGCAGAGGUGUUCACGAAGCUAAAAUUGAAUUAUCUCAAAGCUCGAAAUAAUUAACUUGUUCUUGGCAAAAAAGAAUUUUGUACUGAAAGUAGAUUCACCCACAAAUCGGAUGUACAAACUGAGGAUGGGAUAUAUACGAAUAUCCCACAUACUAGAAUGAAUUUCUGAAGUAAUUUUUCUAAAUAGCUAAUAGAAUUUGGUAAGAAAAUCUCGAAAUUUGAAUAUGCAUAGCCUCAACCGACGUAAUUAAUGUCCUCCGUAAUUUUUGUCAUUGCAUAUUUCAGUUACAACUCCAAAUAACAAAAUUUUCACUUUAUGUUCUUUUGGUGUUUUUAUUGGGGUUAUGUAAUAGAAUAAUGCUACUUUGUCAGAAGUACUGCAAAAAUCCUAAGUGGCGUGAUCACUGUUUAAAAAACAGUCCAAUGACAAAGUGUCAUGUAACAUUAUGUCAACUAUUGUGUCAAAUAUUGUGGCACUGUAGCGUGAUUGUAUGUAAUAUUUUUAGUAUAUAAAUAAGUAUUCUGGCAUAAAAUGAAUUUUUUUUUUAAUAUAUUUCAAAGGUGCAUAUGAUUUUUUUUCCCUCUACAAUGGAAAUAAUUCAAGCCCACCAUGGAGCAUCUCCUGUCCUGAAAUUAGUUUCAACCCAUGGAACAAACACAACUUUCCCAUCAUCAACAUCUGCAUGUGCCAGAGACAAGGACUGUUCCAAUAGUAGAGCAGUAAGCGGAUAUAUAUUUGUUAGCUCACAACAUAUUUAAAAGAGAAAAACAAUAGCAUGCGAGGAGGGAUUUUUAUCGAGUAGAAUUUGGCCUCACCAAAGGAGCAGGUCCUCUAACGACCCUGCCUUGAUUGUUGUACUGAGAGCCCUGGCAUGGACAAAUGAACUUGUUUUCUGCAGCAUUCCAUGACACGUGCACACAUACCACAGGUUGCCAAUGUUCUGUCAUUUUCGACAACCAGGUAGGUCGGAUCUCCCUGUUUUUCACAUCAGACAUCUCUUAGAAAUCAACAGGACAUAUAUGGUUCACACACGAUGAUAUGAAAUGAGAAACGAGUACCUUCAAGCCUUGAGUAAGGGUUCUGUCACCAGGUCCAUGGUUUUUUAGCCACAUUGACGCUGAUGCUAUUACAUCAUUCCCAAGGGCAUCCUUAGCCACUUGACCACCUCCAGCACCUCCUGACCUGUUGAAUCAAUAUCUUUUAGCUUUCCUUCAUUUACUAACCCAGAAAUAAAACAUGAUACUAACCCCAAAUGACACGACCCGUCCCAAAUCACCUUAAUGGAUCCAACAUGUGUCGUGCGCAAAUGGUAGAUACCAGCUAAGUGCCGGACCUGCAACCAAGGUAACCUUAACUUGUUUGACUGUGAUGAAAUUUUAAAGAAUUUUGACAGAGUCUCCUCUAAAAUAUGGACUAAAAUCACCUGAUCCAUAAUCAAUUUCCUCAAAUCAAUAAAUGUAAUAUAAAACAAGUACAUCAGUCCCUCAAAUCCAAACUAUUCAAAAUAAAUUAUUAACAAUUCGAUAUUUACUUGCUUUACUACCAACAAUCCUCAAAUCUACUAAAUAUAACAUAUAGUGAUCUCAUGACAACCCUUUCUAACAUAAACUACAUGUAACCCAAGAAAUAAGUACUACAUAAUCUGAUAAAGUAGGCCAUGGAACCAAUGACGUGUGGCUCAUUUCAAUGAACUGACAGAUUCCAAUACUGCUCAACUCGGCUGCUAUCUGAUAAAGAAAAAGAUGAAAAGAAAUAUGAGCUUACAGCUCAAUGAGUGGAUAAUUUGCAAAUAAGCAUACUUUUUCUUUUAUGCAUAUUUUCUGAAAAAUUCUAAUUCUAUUAAAACUUUGAAAAAUUCUUAAAUCUGGUAACACUUUUAAAACUAAACUUGAUUAUAUUAUAAAAUUUUUUGUUCAUAAUUCUGGAUAAGCAACUAUAAAGUAUAAUGACAUAAAUAAUCUGAUAUCGAUGAAAAUCUAUGAAAUAUUGCUGUUGCUCAAUAUUAUAAGCUAAAAGCUUUAUUUUGAAAACUAAAUUAACUGAAUUCUAUAAUCUGAAAUCUGAUAAGCUAUAGAAAUACUGAAAAAUCACACCAAAAAGGUAACUAAUGAAUAGCCUUACUCAUGUACAGGGUAAUCUUGAUGUACAAGACAAAGCCAUUCAAAUAAGCUAAUCUGGUAAUCUAGUCAUACGUACGCAGAGCUGCCCUAAAGGUUAAUCACACUAGUACAAGGCCCAAAGCCUAUGUGUAUACGAGAGUGAGUCCCAAAGACAUUUAAUAAUGUAGUCAUACACUAUAGAAACACAUUCACAAUAGUGCAGAUCGGUUAAAAUCACCAUAACUAGUCAUACACUGUGGAAACACAUUCACACCAGUGCAGACUGGGGUAAAAUCACUUGGAUACUUUCUGGUAAUUUUAAAAAUAAUUUUAAAUAUACUGAAAUAUUUAUAUUCAUAUAACAUGCUAAUCAAAUGAUUUCACUGAAUUGAAUUUAACUUUAAAAAGAAAUUAUGGAAUCCAUUUUAUUUCCUAAAAAUCAUGCUAUCAAAUUAACUGUAUGAAAUAAUAAAUUUUAUAAUAUAAUAUAUAUUUAAUAGAUACUAAUUUUUGAAAAAUGAGUUUAUAUACACCCACAAGUCAAGCUAUAGACUAUGAAGGUCGAUAAGCUUUUCCAAUUUCCUCGUCACCACCUCAAAUAUGAUACCAAAUAAUUAAUAACCCAUGUAACAACUACCAUACCACAUAUUCUUAACAUUUAACUAUGAAAUAUUAGAACUUGAUUUUUCGAAACUUGAAUAUAAUCUUUAAUCUCGCUCACAAUUGGAACGAAUUCUACCUUCUAGUCCAUUCACUAAUCUUUAAUUUAUCAUAAUUACCUUCAUCCCAAACAUAAAAACAAUUCUUUCUUCUAAUCUAGUGAAACUUGAAUUCUCACAUGCACUAAUCUAAUUUACAUCUUAUUCCAUAAAUUCAUUCCAUAAAGUUAAUAUUUCAUCAUCAAAAUCAUUUCCCCUAAUUAUUCUUAUUCAAAAACUCAAUUAAAAACUCUAGGUUUGCCAAAAAUAGUAUAACUUACCUUGAUGCAAAAAUCUUUCACAAAACAAAAAGAUUAGCUUGAAAUCAUGCUCUUACCUUCAAUCUGAAAAUUAACCCAAACAAUUCCUUAGAACCCUAGAAAAUCAACCAUAACUAUUUCAUAAAAUUUUAAUCUUUACCUUUUGAAGAAUUAAAGAUAUAAAGCUUCAAGUAGUUGACACCAAAUUUCUUCCUUCUUUUUCCUUUUCCUUUUACUUUUCCUUUUCCUUUUUCUUUUCCUUUUCCUUGGUUUUUUCUCCUCUUCUUUCCCAGCUUCACUGCCCGAUUUUUCUACUGUGUGUGAGUGUGUGUAAUAAUUUGAAAAAUGAGAUAUUAGUUAAAUACUUGCCACAUGUAAUCCAUUAUACCAACUUUGCAAAUAAAGCCC
Molecule: long non-coding RNA, 59518 nt
Filed under: Olea europaea (common olive)
Lineage: Eukaryota; Viridiplantae; Streptophyta; Magnoliopsida; Lamiales; Oleaceae
Description: long non-coding RNA (OEUR_LNC002682)
Source: RNAcentral